GGUAGAAGAACUUGUCGUCGAUGUCCUCCUCCAUGAGCAUCCGGGAGAUGAAGGGGAGGACGAGGUCCGGGUCGUCGUCGUCGUCGUCGUCGUGGUCGUGGGUCGGGCGCCCCGGCGGCGUCGGGGGCAGGUCGAGGAAGACGGAGGGCGAGAAUGGCUCCUGCGCCGCCAGGUACGGCGCAGCCCCCUCCUGCGCCGCCAGGAAGUCCUCCGGCGUGGCGGACAUGGUGGCCGUCUUGGCUUCGCUCGUCGCUCGGCGGCGGCGGUGGUGCGGGGCGGUGGGCGGAACACGGAAGGGGUGGAAAUCGGAGGAGGAUUUUUACUUGGCGUGGGGGAAUUGGGAACCGGACUUGUUUGACUUGGGGAGCAGAGCAGUGGACGCCUGAAGCGAGACGGCGGCUGGAAUAGCUAGCUGCUGGUAGCCUAGGGGAUGGGGGAUCCGGGACGGCGGUGGUUGGGGGUGGCUGGUUUUGAUUUUGAAGGCCGGGGGCGGGAGGUGGAGGAGAGGCGGAAGAAGGUUCCGCGAAGGCCACCGUGGGUUGGGGAGAGGAGACGGCGAUCCUCGCCGAAGGCGAAAGGAAGCGCAACUGCGACUCACCUGCUGCUGUGCUGGGGGAAAGGGAGGUGGAAUUGUGGAAAGGCGGCUGAGGCUCCCCUGCUUCCCCGGUCGGUUGCCGGUUGGGUGGGACCCAUGUUGGCAUGGGCUUUGUUUAGUUUUUAAAAAAAUUUGUAAAAUUUUUCAGAUUCCUCGUUACAUCAAAUCUUUAAACACAUACAUUAAGUAUUAAAUAUAGUUAAAAAUAAAAACUAAUUGCACAGUUUGGUCGAAAUUGACGAGACGAAUCUUUUAAGUCUAGUUAGGGCCUGUUUAGAUUGGGGAAGAAAAAUUUUUGGGUGUCACAUCAAAUGUGUCGGAAGGAUGUCGGGAUGAGUUUUUAGGAACUAAUAAAAAAACAAAUUACAUAGCUCGUCAGGAAACUGCAAGACAAAUUUAUUAAGCAUAAUUAAUCUGUCAUUAGCAUAUGUGGGUUACUGUAGCACUUAAGGCUAAUCAUGGAGUAACUAGGCUUAAAAGAUUCGUCUUGCGAUUCUCAACUAAACUGUGUAAUUAGUUUAUUUUUUUAUCUACAUUUAAUGUUCUAUGUAUGUGUCCAAAGAUUCGAUGAGAUGGAUGAAAAAAUUUUGAGUGAUGAACUAAACAGGGUCUUAGUCCAUGAUUGGACAAUAUUUGUCAAAUACAAAUGAAAGAGUUACGGUGUUAAUUUUGCAAAAUAUUUUUGAAAAUAUUCGUUUUAGUUAUUACUAGUUACAUAUAAGCUAUUUUGUUUGACAAACAAACGAGGACACAGACCUGUUCUCGUCACCCGAAAAGGAUACGUUCAGCGACAUACAUGGAGCAGGUGUCACACAGAACCAUUGUGUCCAAAAGUCAAGCAGUCAGUCUUGACCAUACAAAAAAAACGUAGAAGAAGGCCUUGUUUAGUUCCAAAAUUUUUAGCAAAAUGAGCACUGUAGCAAUUUCGUUUGUAUUUUACAAAUAUUGUUCAAUCAUAGACUAACUAGGCUCAAAAGAUUUGUCUCGUCAAUUCCGACCAAACUGUGCAAUUAGUUUUUAUUUUUAUCUAUAUUUAAUACUCCAUGCAUACAUCUAAAGGUUCGAUGUGACGGGAAAUCUGAAAAAUUUUGCAAAAUUUUUUGAACUAAACAAGGCCGAAGCUUACAGACAACAAGGUGAUGAUCGAGACCAUCCAGCUCGCCUCAAACCCCCGGACCCCAUCUUCCCUACUUUUUUUUUUUUGGAGAAUCAGUCGAUGCUCAAGCAUGGAGGAAGAAAAACAGUAGAUAGUCUUUUUCUUCACUUUGCCCAGCCCAGCACAGGUGAGCGGCCCAUUGAAAGCCCACCAUUGCACACUUCUCCUUACCUUAGGCCCUGUUUAGAUUGGAGAUGAAAAUUUUUUGGGUGUCAAAUCGGAUAUGUCGGAAGGAUGUCGGGAGGGGUUUUUAGAUACUAAUAAAAAAACAAAUUACAUAGCUCGUCAGGAAACUGCAAGACAAAUCUAUUAAGUAUAAUUAAUCUGUCAUUAGCACAUGUGGGUUACUGUAGCACUUAAGGCUAAUCAUGGAGUAACUAGGCUUAAAAGAUCCGUCUCACGAUUUUCAAUCAAACUGUGUAAUUAGUUUAUUUUUUUAUGUACAUUUAAUGUUUCAUAUAUAUGUCCAAAGAUUCGAUGGGAUGGAUGAAAAAAUUUUGGGCAGGGAACUAAACAGGGCCUUAGCCCAAUCGGUGGAAUCCCUAAUCUCUGAAUCACCCGUGCCCGACGCCCUAGCGAGGCCACGAGGAGCCACCCGGCGUCCAGGCACCCACCGACGGAUCAGCCAUCGUGCUGCCACCGUGCCAUGCCGUUGCCCGUGCCCGUGGUCGCCACUGGCUCAUGGCCAGCCGCCCGCCUCGAUGCCUUGCCUCCCACCGCUGCACCGGCCACCGGGAGGAGCAACCGAGCUGUGGCCUAGCGCAACUGCAGCAGACUAGCUCUGCCCUACCGUUGCCAGGUGGCAGGACAACAGCCCACAGGAGCCGGCUCCGCAGACUACUCAUCCACUCACUUUUCGCCUCUGCCUCGUUCAUUAGUUGGGGGUGUUCAAAUUUAACAUUAUCAGUAUCAUUUUUGUUUUAUUUAAUAAUUAUUGUCCAAUUAUAGACUAAUUAAGCUAAAAAAAUUCUUCUCCCAAAUUAUUCUGUUUUUAGUUUUAUAAACAAUAUAUAUUUAGUACUCGUGUCUAAACAUUCAAUGUGAUAGGUGAUAAAAAAAUCACAGGUAACUAAACAGAGUCUAAGAUUUUCCGUCACAUCUAAUCUUGCGACACAUGUACGGAGCAUUAAAUAUAAAUAAAAAAAUAACUAAUUACACUUUUUGUUUGUAAGACGAAUCUUUUGAGCCUAAUUAAUCUAUGAUUGGACACUAAUUACCAAACACAAACGAAAGUGCUACAUAGAGAAAUAAAAAAAAACGGAUCUACACAAAGCCGUAGUUCCUGGAAAUUUUGCAAAUUUUUCAAGGUUAUCUGUCACAUCGAAUCUUGUGGCACAUGCAUAAAGAGAUCAAAAAAUAAUUAAUUGUAUAGUUCGGCUGUAAUUUGCGAGACAAAUUUUUGAUCUUAGGCCUUGUUUAGUUCUAUUUUUUUUGCAAAACGGAUAUUGUAGCACUUUCGUUUGUAGGUAAAACGGACACUGUAGCGUUUUCGUAUAUGUUUAAUGCUUCAUACAUGUAUCGUAAGAUUCAAUGUGACGCAGAAUUUUUAAAAAAAUUAGUAUUUUUUUUUUUACAACAAAGGUUUUUAGUAUUUGACAAGGCCUAUAGCAGAGAGAGGGGGAGAGAUUUCUCUAUAUGUGGGCCCAUGAAACCAUACUUUGUUCGCCCUAUUGCUGGAGCUACCCUAAAGAGUGCUUUGCUGCUCACCGUCGGAAAAAAGGCUGUUUAGUUCACCUUGAAAACCAAGAUUUUAAGAUUUCCCGUCAUAUCGAAUCUUGCGGCACAUUCAUGAAACAUUAAAUAUAGAUAAAAAUAAAAACUAAUUACACAGUUUGCCUAUAAAUCGCGAGACAAAUCUUUUGAUCCUAGUUUUUAUUUUUGUCACAAACAAACGAAAGUGCUACAGGAGCGAAAUCCAAAAUAUUUCCGUAUCUAAACAAGGCAAAAAAAGAGUGCUUUGCUGCUAAAAGUAGAAAGCCAACGUUGACACAUGAAGCUGCUUAGGGUGUGUUUAGAUGCACCUAAAAAUUCAAAAGUUUACAAGAUUUUCUAUCACGUCGAAUCAUGCGGCACAUGUAUAGAGCAUUAAAUAUAAAUAAAAAAUAACUAAUUGCACUGUUUACUUAUAAAUUGGUAGACAAAUUUUUAAGCCUAGUUAGUCUAUGAUUGGAUAAUAUUUAUCAAAUACAAACGAAUGCGCUAGUGUUAAAAUCCAUUUUUUUUGCAUCUAAACAAGACCUUAGUUUUCAAAAGUAGUUCUUCAGGUCAGUACAAUUUUGGAAGCAUCUUGAACUUUUUUUACUUUUAUCAUUCUGCUUUUCAAAAUGGGUGGAAAUAGAGAGCUACUCCCUCCAUCCCAAAUUGUAAGUCAUUCCAAUAAUCUUAGAGAGUCAAACUUUUCUAAGUUUGACUAAAUUUAUAUUAUAAAAUAAUUAUUAUUAUGGUACUAACUAAGUAUAAUUAGAUUCUUUCUUAAUUAUAUUUUCAUAGUAUACUCACUUUAUGUUACAAAUCUUAGUAUUUUUCUCUAUAAUUUUGGUCAAACAUGAAAAUGCUUUGACUCUCUAAGAUUCUUGAAAUGACUUACAAUUUGGAAUAGAGGGAGUAUUUCAAGAAAAUUUCUAUACUUGUUUUAGCUAAACUGCUUAUAGAUUUUUCACAGCAUAUAGCUUCACAACAACUUUUUUACAGCUAGCUUAUAACAAAUCUUUCAGAACUUAGACCUGAACCAAACGCUAUAUAUGUCACGAGGAAGGUAAGCAUUGGAUACCGACUGGCCGGAAGUGAUUGUAGAGGGCUACAGUGUUGUAAUAUAGAGUACAUGGGUCUUGACUCUUGAGUCGCAUGUAGUCCCUCCGUUCUAAAAAGAGUGUCGUUUUAGAUUUUUGUGCUACAAGUUUGACUCGAUUUGUAGAAAAUAUAUGUAAUAUUUAUAUCUCUAAAUAAAUUUGUUAAAAAAACUAGACUUAAAGAUCUUUUCAAUGAUACUAAUUAUGUAUUAUAAAUACUAAUAUUUUUUACUAUAUAUUUAGUUAAAGUUAUUUCUCGGAAAGUGAAAAUGACACUUAUUUUGGGACAGAGGAAGUAGUGACUACAAGCCAUUUAUUACUGUAUUAUUACAAAAAAUAAAAACUGAAGGAUGGCAAGGGACCAACUAUAUCAUGGGUAUUUGUGUAUUUAGCUACUAGCCCUACGAGAUUUUUUUUAAAAAAAAAACUGCUGUAAUAAGCAACAGUUGGCGAGGAGAAAAUAAUAAAAGUCCAAACAGAUUAGGGUCUUGUUUAGUUUGUGGAUCAAACGUUUUCAGGUGUUAUAUCAGAUAUUUUUUGAGAUGUUAAAAAAGGUGUUUGAUACUAAUUAAAAAACUCACUACAUACUCCCUCCGUUCUGCAAUGUAAGUUCAUUCUAGGAUUCAAAAUUUGUCCUCAAAUAUAAAGCAUUCUAAAGGACAAAACUAUUUUUGCAUUAAAUAUUUUUCUGUUUAUCAACCAAUACCACUAAUCAUGUUUAUGAUAGCAUCUGAUUAGGAAAUAAAAUGGCGGUGCAUGUGUCUUUUGUGUUCUCUCUUAAUUGUCUUACAAUUCUUAGAAUACACUAUAUUACAAGACAGAGAGAGUAAUUUGCCUGGAAAACAUGAGAUAAAUUUAUUAAGCUUAAUUAAUCUAUGAUUAGCACAUAUGUAUUAUUGUACCAAUUAGACUAAUUAGGCUUAAAAGAUUCGUCUUAUGGUUUUCAUAAAAAUUAUGCAAUUAGUUAUUUUUAUUUAUAUUUAAUGUUCCAUGUAUGUGUAAACAUUCAAUGGGACAGGACGGAAAGUUUUAGAUUGAAACUAAAUAGAGCCCAGGUGCUAUUUGGUAACUCCAGAAAUUAGAUACAUUCAUCAGUUAGUGAUAACAAUAAUGAUGGCAAGGGCGGCUAUUUGCCAGGAACCCCACUAAUGGUGGAUUAUCAAUGUUAUAUAUACCUGCAAUCAUUAACGAUGGCAAGGGCGGCUAUUUGCCAACAACCCCACUAAUGGUGGAUUAAUCAAUGUUAUAUAUAUCUGCAAUCAUUAAUGAUGGCAAGGGCUAUGGUGUUCGCUUCAGCCAAAUCUAUCAGUUAUUCAAUAAUAUUUUUCUCUUACAGUAAAUCAACGAACAAUACUUUUUGCCAUGUCUUAUCAGCCAAACGAACAGAGCAGUGACGAUACACAAACUUCGGCCCUGUUUAGUUUUCCACGUAUUUUUUUAUCUAUCCUAUUGAAUCUUUAGACACAUGUAUUGAGCACUAAAUAUAGGCAAAAAAUAAAUUACACAAUUUAGUUGUAAAUCGCGAGACCAAUCUUUUAAGCCUCAUCAAUUCAUAAUUAGCCAUAAUUGCUAUACGGUAAGCCACAUGUGCUAAUGACAAAUUAGUUAGGCUUAAUAAAUUCGUCUCGCAGUUUCCAAACAAGCUAUGUAAUUUAUUUUUUGAUUAGUUUACGUUUAAUGCUUCAAAUGUGUGCCGGCAUAUUCGAUGUGAGUAAACUAGGGCCCUGUUUAGUUCUUAAUUUUAAGAUUUCGUAUCAAAACGAAUCUUUGGACACAUGCACACAUUGCGAGACGAAAUUUUUCAGUCUAGAUAGUCCAUAGUUAGACAAUAAUUACCAAAUACAAACAAAAAUGAUACAGUAGUCAAACCUAAAAUGUUUCAUGAACUAAACAUUUCCAAAAAAAAUUCUAAAAUUUUUCAAGAUCUAUCGUCACAUGGAAUCUUUAUAUAUAUAUAUAUAUAUAUAUAUAUAUAUAUAUAUAUAUAUACACACACACAUUAAAUAUAAAAAUAAAAAUAACUAAUUAUAUAGUCUAUCUAUAAUUUAAUAAAUCUUUUAAGUAUAAUUAAUCUAUAAGACUAAACAAGGCCUAGGCACAUUACCAGCAAGCCGCCUGGUGACAUAUUCCGUGACAUGGCUUUGGCCUACGAACUUGCAUAUAUAAAUUGAGGCGCGAAGAGUCCCACUUCACUCAACACUCGAGCAGUGGAGCUGAAGAAGCCUUCCCCCCAAGAGCCACAGAGAGCAUGGCCGCUGCUCCCAUGGUGGUGCCGCGCAUGAAGCUGGGCUCGCAGGGGCUGGAGGUCUCGGCGCAGGGCCUCGGCUGCAUGGGCAUGUCCGCCUACUACGGCCCGCCCAAGCCGGAGCCGGACAUGAUCGCGCUCGUCCACCACGCCGUCGCCGCCGGCGUCACACUCCUCGACACCUCGGACGUGUACGGGCCCCACACCAACGAGCUCCUCCUCGGCAAGGCGCUGCAGGCAGCAGGCGGGGUGAGGGAGAAGGCGCAGGUGGCCUCCAAGUUCGGCAUCCUCACGGACGCCGACGGCAACUGGGGCGUCCGCGGCGACCCGGCGUACGUGCGCGCCUCGUGCGAGGGCAGCCUCCAGCGCCUCGGCGUCGACUGCAUCGACCUCUACUACCAGCAUCGCAUUGACAGCAAGGUGCCCAUCGAGGUCACGGUGAGUUCGCUUCCACCCUUAGGCAAAGGCUUUAGCUUCAAUUUCAUAUUUGUAAAAAAAAACUCAGCCAAGGCAUUUUUUAAUAUUCCAUAUUAAGAAAAAUUCUUGAGGACACUGAGUACCAUAAAGGUGAGUGGACACUGCAUUCUAAAUAAUGCAGAAGGUGAGUGGACACUGAGUUCCAUAGUAGUGAUCAGAAGUUGCAUCUUCUGAAUAAACAAAGUAUUCAAUGGCUUCCUUGAGUCUCUGCAAUGCAUGCCUUUGGCCCUUUGCUCAAGAAAAAGAAGUUCCAAGAUUCAAAAGCAGAGACGGAGUGGACUGAACCACAAUGCACUCCCUAACCUGAUGAAUAAGCUUAUGAACCUGCUUGACUUCCAUGCACAGGUAGGUGAACUGAAGAAACUAGUCGCAGAGGGCAAGAUAAAAUACAUUGGUCUGUCCGAAGCAUCGGCGUCGACGAUCAGGAGAGCGCACGCAGUUCAUCCCAUCACCGCUGUCCAACUGGAGUGGUCUCUCUGGUCAAGAGAUGUUGAAACUGACAUAAUCCCGACUUGCAGGUCUUUUCUUUUUCAUGACCAAAACUGCAUCUAUAUUGUUGAGCCACCAACAAAACUGUAUCCAUAUUGUUUAUUUACUUGUUCAUGCUCUGGCAAUUUCAGGGAGCUUGGCAUUGGAAUAGUGGCAUAUAGUCCACUGGGCAGAGGGUUCUUGUCAAGUGGUCCUAAGCUGGUCGACACCUUGUCUGAUCAAGAUUUCCGCAAGGUUUAUACCUCUAAUAAGCACUCUUUUAGUAGUAAGUACCACAGCCCAGAUUAUACUGACGCACCAUUUUAACCUUUUUCACUGAAACCAUUUCCAGGACCUGCCUAGAUUCCAGCCGGAAAACAUGGAGAAGAACGCCGUGAUCUUUGAGAAAGUGAAUGCAAUGGCGGCGAGGAAGGGGUGCACGCCGUCGCAGCUGGCGCUGGCCUGGGUUCACCACCAGGGACCCGACGUCUGCCCCAUACCCGGGACAACGAAGGUUGAGAAUUUCAACAGCAACGUGGCGGCGCUUUCGGUGAAGCUGACACCUGAAGACAUGGCUGAGCUCGAGUCCUACGCGUCGGCGGAUGUCCAGGGUGAUCGCUACAAUGAGUCCUUCCUCGCCGCUUGGAAGGAUUCUGAGACACCUCCCCUCUCGUCCUGGAAGGCUGAGUAACGUACACGCAUCGUUUCACAACAUUUCCAAUCCUUGGUGUUGGCAAAUAAGCACGUACCGGCAGUGUCCGCCGUGAGUAAGAUAUGUGGGCGUUGAUACUUGUGUAGUUGCUCAUGUCUCGUUUCUGUUGUUGCAUUGUGUCAAUAUUAUAUUCAAGAAAUGCGAAAAGCAUUCAGGGUAUCAAUGAAUUAUGUUACAUGAAAAAGCUGCUAUGUCCGUGACACAAAGUAAAGCUUCUUCCAAAUUAAAUCCACACACUAUUGUUCAAAUCCCCCGACCCCUUAAUGGCUUAAUCCCAAUAUCUGUUAUUAUUGUUUUCUUUCUCAAUGAUGAUUUGUUUACUCGAUAUUAACUAGAGUUAUAUAUAUCUAAUCUCUUUUUCUUCUCUUCUCUACAACUAGAAAGAUUUAACGUAAUUUCUUUUUCCAAAAAAACAAACAAGGGAGUUCAGACUCUUUCUCUGAAACUCCCAUUCCCUACCACCAAUUCCCUCCCAACCAAAUGAGAUGUUAGCAUCACCGCUUCAAUCCCCCUCCUCUCUCUAUCCAGUCAUCUCGCUGGUGGUUAGAGGGGUGGGGACCCUACCCUUUUGUAGAUCUAGGUUUGUUCUCGGUUUCUCAUAUGUUUUGUUUCUAGUAUCAUCGACGAGGUUGCCACAAUGAUGGCAUUUGGAAUAAGGUCUCUCCCUACCUCGACAACAUUCGAUAUGGCGUCGACCAAGGGCAAAUGAGAGUAUGAUUUGUCAGAUUUGUUGGUUCUCUUUAGUUCUUGGCAGUUGUUGCGUUUAUCUUGAAAAGCAGUUGGCUGACUUUCGAUGCAACGAUCAAGACAUCUUUUGGUCUAUUUGACAACAAGGCACGGUAUUUUCAACACUCUUUUGAUGGUAAAGAAUUAGAAGCUUCUGUUUCUUGGAGGGUUCCUUCAGUCGAUAUUCUUUCAGUGUGUACUAGAUCUCUUUGUCAGUAGCGAGUGCCUUUUGUGAUGUUCAAAGCCAUAUUUAGCGAGGAUAUUGGCAGGUGUUCUUUUUUCUUUAUUGACUAUUCAGCGUGAGUUCCAAGUUCCGGCAAACAACACAUGAUCCAAGGAACAAGACAACCGAUAGGCAACAUGUUUGUUACAUUCAUGCAGCUAGCUGCAAUAUUAAUUUUCUGUAUGUUUGGUUCAGCUUGCUAACUUAUUGCGCGUAGAAAAUGUUUGGCCUGAAUUUUUAUUCAGAGUUGCUUGUUUAUGGUAAAAAGAACCUUUUUUUUCUUUUUUUUAAGCAGAAAAAAACUUUUUAUUUUCUGGCCGCUGGGCGAUUUUUCUCGGCCUGUUUUCCUCGUUAUCCGGCCAUGCCCAGCUUCAGACCCUUACUUUUCGCGCCUCCCUCCCACUCCUUUGUUUUGGGCCGUGGCCCAUUAAAGCCGACCGCACAGCACCACCAGAGCCCGAAAGACAGUGUGGCCCAAGAGGAGAAGUGCAAAGCUAUGCAGCCCGGCCUUUUCCUCUCAAAAAAAAAAAGAAGCAGCCCGGCCUUUUGGUGCCCUCGUGUUACUCAAAGAAGAGAAACUCCUGCAACGUCAUCCAGUCAUCACCAUUUCAGAUCCCCCCCUCACUCCAGUAACUUUCAGGUAGAAGAAAUCGAAAACACAUCAUCGUGUUUACACAUUUGUUUUUCAAGAACAUAGUGCCCCCAUCCCAAAUUACAAGACAUUUAACGCUUUCGACCUUAAGUUUAACCACUCAUUUUAUUCAAAAAAUUUGUACAAACAUUAUUAAACUAAAUCAUUCUUAAAAAAAACUUUUAUUGAUAAACUAAACCACAACAAAAGAAAAUAAUAAUUUACAUAAUUUUUUUGAUUAAAACGAGUGGUUAAAUUUGGUUUUAAAAAAACCAAACGUUUUAUAAUUUAGAAUAAAUUGAGUAACAUUUAUACACGUCACACAACAACAACCAGUUUUUCGGGGAAGGGGGAAAAAAAAAAAAGAGGAAAGGCAGUGCGCGUGCAGGCGCAUUAAAUUUUGAGCCGGGGUCGGGUGCCGACGGCCGACGGCGAGAGCCAAGACAAAGGGCAGCCGAAAGCGGCGGCACAUGCCGGGCCCGGCUGGGGCUGGGCAGGGGAGGGGGCGCAGGGGCACCGCCACGCUGCCCGGUGCCCACGCACGCAUGUGAAGGGCCGCGUAUCCGUGCACGCGUACUCCCGCUCGCACACACUAGUAGGCCGCUCCGGGCACACAAGUGUCGUGCUGGCGGCCCUUGUUGCAUUGGCCGGACACAGCGCUUUCCGCUCGGCUCGGCGACCACCGCCCACGAGGGGCAGCGAGCGAGCAGUUAGCUAGCUAGGCGCGCCGGCCGGAUACGAGCCAACAAAAGCUUCAACCACCAGCACAUGCGCAGCGUACGCGCGCCGUGUCGCCGGGCGGGGUCGACGACGACGCGCGACGUGCCAACGCCCGCCCGCCCGGCCGCUUGUUUACUGUCCAGUCAGCACUCAAGCUAGCCGCCAUGCAUGUCCGGCCGAGAGAGCACACUCGGGAUCGACAUGUGAGCACUCACGACGUGCUUGGUGGCGUGUGAAAAAAACUGAAAAAAGACGAUCGAUCGAUCGAUCCGCUGCAUGCAUGUGAGCAAGUCGCGGUCGUCCGUCCUAGUGCAAAUGCAACCAGUUGUGCCAAACGCGAGCGAGACCCUCUGCCCCCAGUGACCCAUGCCAUGCCCCAUGGCAGCAGCAGCAGCAGGAGGAGGAGGAAAGCAAAUAAAAGCAGCCGUGCGUGGCCCGUGGGGGAUCGGGAGGCGUCGGUGUCGUCCGCCGUAAUCACGGACGGAAUGAAGUUCGGGGGUUUGGGUUCGUUCGACCAUCACUUCGUGCGUGCUUCGUACUACAGUACAGGAUCGGCCACGAGCACAGGACGAGCUAAUCACGGGAUUUGAUUGGAAAAAAACGCAGUCAACCAACUAGGAGAACAGCAGCAAGUAGUCGCCGUGACACCCUCUACCGCAUAUCUAUCGUUCAGCAGCGUGCCGGCCCGGAUAGGUUUGGUUCCCGCUGGGCCUGUCUUGUGGUCAGACAUGACAUGACCUGGGACGUGGCUGGACUCUUAAUUAUAUUGGGAGUACGUGUUCACGUUAAGCUUUCAUUUCUUUCAUACUACUACCUAGACUAGCUAGAUGACCCCAUUACCACUUACAUACACUUUGCCACCGAGGCACCGACACUAUAUAUGGUUUCACACACAGUUUGGCCGCAACAGCAGCAGGCUUCAGCACUCUUAUUAACAGUGGAUGCUGCCCUCGUAGCUGGUGAGAUGCGCGCCUGCGCGUCACAUGGAUCCACCAACCGCACCAACAAAGCACACCAUUCAUGCAUGCAUGCAACAAGCCGUCCUCCGGCCGUCGUCGUCCCUCUCACAAAGCAAGGCGCAAAGCCGGACGCCUAGCAAGGCAGUUACAAAAUAUUUUGCAAAAUCGACACUGUAGCUUUUUCGUUUGUAUUUGACAAAUAUUAUCCGAUCAUAGACUAACUAGGCUCAAAAGAUUCGUCUCGUUAAUUUCGACUAAACUGUGCAAUUAAUUUUUAUUUUUGUCUAUAUUUAAUACUUCAUGCAUGUGUUUAAAGAUUCGAUGUGACGGAGAAUCUGAAAAAAUUUUGCAAAAUUUUUUGGAAACUAAACAAGGCCCAAGUGUACUAGUAGCCCGUAGCUAGCUAGCUAGGCACGUUGUGUAGCAUGCAGAUGAGAACGGAAUAAGCACGCAUGUAUAGUAGUAUUAUGAAGCAUGAUUAGAGGGAGACACGGCCCUGCGGGUGGUGGGCGGCGGCGGCGCUGGUCCAUGCAUGACUCCAUGUCCAAGCAACGCGCAACGCCACUGCAACGAACGAGAGCAGCAGCAGUGUGAGCGAGUGUCGGUGCCCGGCCGGGGCCGAGACACACAACACAACACAAGCAAAGCAAAUAAAGCGAGCACGGCACGAACCGAGAGCCAGCGUGUAGUAGUACGUGACCGUCCAUGACCAUGAGCGCACGACGCCCCUGCGUCCGUCCGUCCGUCCGUCCGUCCGCGCGCGCGCAUGCAUGAUCGCACCGUCGGUGGCGGACUGGCGGUGGCGGUGGGCGGCACGUGGUCCUCCCCGCCCGCCCGCGCAUCAUUUCGCGACUGACCCUUGCCCGGCGCCUGGCCGCGACAGGGCGAAUGUUUUUUUUCCCCCCGGAUCCCUCCCCUGUCUCACGCGACGCAUGGACGCAUGGUAUAGACUAUAGAGAGCGGGUCGGUGCGCGGCCACGUACCGCCCCCGCCUGCGCCACCUGAGGUUCAGCACCGGCCAGCAGCAGGCUGCAGGCACCCGCGCGCCGGGAUGGAUGGAUUGGCAAAUGGCACGGCCGUCGCUCGCUGCGCGCCCACACCGAGGGAACGCGUGCGAUACGUCCCAUGGGCCGUGGGGGUGGGGUGGUACGUCCAGUACUCCAGUGCAGUGCGGUACUAUGGUCGCUGACCGGUGGCUAUCUCGGUUGGCUAGGUUAUUUGUUGGUUGCGCUAGCUUGCGCCUGCGUCGAGGGGCGACGCCUGACGUACGUACCGGUCCAAGCAUGCAGAACUAACCAACCAUCCAGCAGCGGCGGUUGCUCGUACGGACGACGGCCGUUGCAGUUUGGAUGCACCCGACCGGCCGCUGUCUUUCUCAAAUCUCAAUCGGCGAGGAGGAUGAGGAGAAAUUAACGGGGAGAAAGUGUGCGCGGCGCGCGCCAUCAUGGAGAUGAUGACCGAGAGAGGUAUGUACGUCGUGGUAGCCGCAUGUUACGGAGCCCAAAACCAACCGGACAGGGGGGGGGAACAUGGCCGUGCCUUCCGGAGGAUCCCCCGGACCUCUUUUCAGAUACAUCAUCAGUGAGUGGAGCUAGGCCUUUUUCCCGUCCUGGGUGGUGACUAGUGAGGGGGGAGCUGAGGGUCAACCUCCACUCCCGCCCGUCUUGUGCCGCACCUCGAUCAACAGGUCAUUAGGAAACACGGCAAAAGCUUUUUUCUUUGUAAACUUCGCGUCGCGGCGUCUGUGAUCCAACUCAUAUCCUUUCACUUUCGUUUCGAAACGAAACAGACGAGAAAAAGCUGAGUGCAAGUUCAUAUACUAAAUCAACACCGGGACAUCAGGGAGAGCUCCCGAUUUUUUUGUAUCCUCGAUGGUGACACCAUACUGCAGCUCUUACGAUCCUAGCUACUAGUAUAGUAGUACUCCACAUAGGAUCCGUCGUGUCGAUCCGCGUCGAAAUUAAAAGAUAGUACUCUCCCUCCAACAAUUCCACGGCCUCGUCAAGGAAGGAAUCGAAGGAUAUGGAUAAUGGAUGCCAAUAAUCAUUGGCGGAUGCACGAGGGGGGCUGGGGUGGCUGCAGCCCCCUCUUGGGCUCAAUUUUUUUUUAACACAUUUUCUUUUUUUAGCAAAAGACUUCAUAUAUUUAGUAUUUUUAUAUGUUUAUUUUAUGAAUCUUUGUCUUUGAACACUUUGAAUCAAUAUUGAAUUAUCAAUCUUAGCUAUAUCUAUUAGGUUUUGUUUAGUUCCCAAAAUAUUUUACAAAAUUUUUCAGAUUUUUCAUCACAUCUAAUCUUGCGGCACAUGUAUGAAGCACUAAAUAUAGAUAAACUAAUUACACAGUCUACCUGUAAUUUGCGAGACGAAUCUUUUAAGCCUAGUUAGUCCAUGAUCGGACAAUAUUUGUCAAAUAUAAACGAAAAUGCUACUAUUCGUGUUUUGCAAAAAAAUUUGAAACUAAACAAGACCUCCUUAGUGUACUGGAUUGAGUGAGCAAAAAAAAUUUUAACAUGUAUUAUUUAGCCCCCCUCUUGGUCCAUUUCUGGAUCCGCCACUGCCAAUAAUAAUGCACUCCCUAUACUGAUGAGUGAUUAUUACGAGCAGUAUUGGGCCGUCCCGUCCCGUCCCGUCGCGAUUCAGAUAAAAACGCCGGUGGGUGCUCUGCGCUCUCCUCUGCUCUGCUGUGUACGCCAAUCUAUACCACCAUCAUUGUCACCACGGAAUGAAGCGGACACCUCACAUGCGGAGCACGCGCCGCCCGCCGCUGCAUGCCUCGACCAACCAGGCGGCGAUAUCGACGACCACCGCACGUAAAGCCGUUGCUAUGGCUACAUAGCGACACGGAGCGCGCAUUUUCUGGGCUCUCUUGCCACUCUUGUUUAAUUUCUUUUCCCCCCAUUUCUUGGUAUAUAAAAACAUUAUCUUUUUCUAGUAUGUGUGUGUGUGUGUGUAAAGUGGGAAAGGCCAUACACAAUUGUCAAGUGCCAAGUCAGGUUCUCCAGGGGCUCUCGCUCGAUCAGGGCAGGGCCGCCCGGUGACUGAUUGGAGCGGAAAGCUUGGUGCAUGUGCGCCGAUCCACCACGAGCACGAGGCCCUGGGAUCCCUUUUGUGAGUCUAGUCGCCGGAAUUGGUGGGGUUGGCCUCAUCCAAUGCAUACACACCAACAACAACUCAUGCAUCCAUGUUCAUCAUACUAUAAUGUGCUUGUUAGUAGCUGAAUACUCUUAUUAUUAAGUCACGAUUGAUUGAUAUAUAACUGUUUCGGCCGGAUGUGCAUAUGUUUAUCACUAUUAUAUAUAUCAAACUAAUUAAAUGUGCAUAUAGCAGGGACGGAUGGAUGGCCGACAGAGGCCCCUCGAUGGCUCGAUCUACCUCUGGUGGGACUCAGACCGGGAAGAAUAUGGACAUGGUGGCAACCAAAAGACUUUUUGUCAAGUUUGAACCUGGACAUGGUAAAUCUAUAGCGAUCGAUAAGAUUAAAUUUUAAAAACAAAAUUGAGAUUAAUUAAUAACAUUGUAUAAGAUAUAGGCUGCGACAAGUGCCACAAGAAGAGCUAGGCUUGUUUAGUUCCAAUUUUUUUUUAGCAAAACGAGUACUGUAGCACUUUCGUUUAUAUUUGACAGAUAUUGUUCAAUCAUGAACUAACUAGACUUAAAAUAUUCAUAUAGCAAAUUAUAGACAAACUAUUUAAUUAGUUAUUAUUUUUGUUUUAUUUGAUGUUUAUAUAUGUGCCGCAAAAUUUGAUGUAACGGGGAAUCUGAAAAAUUUUGAAAAUUUUUUUAGAACUAAACAAGGCCUAGUUUCAAUUAAAUACACAUUGACGAAACAUAAAGAUCAAUUAAAUAAUAAGUCUAUUGUGUUUGAAAAUAAAUAAAAAUAAAAAAGUGUAACUGAAUAUAAGUAUUUUUUAUUAGUUAGAAAUGUUACAAUUAAUUAUUUUUUCCGUUCACUUAAACUUAUCAUCAAAAAUAGUAUUUUUUUUACAACAAAUCAACAUCAAUAUCAACGUCAGAUUAGUAUACUUGUACUCCUCGGCAAGAUCCGUGUAUGGCUAGCUGCUCUCGAUUAAUAGAUUAAUAGGUUAAGUCUCGCAUGCACCACGCAUGUGGGAUGUCCCGCGUACAAUAAUAAUACUACUACUAUACUUGUAUAUAUAAUUAGAGUAAGUAUUAUAGUGGGCUGUAAGCUGGCUAAAUGCUGAGGUGGAGGAGAGAAGGGAGGAGAGAGAGGAGAAGCAAGCUGUAACCUUACAGCCAGCUUAGGCACAGGAAUCAAGAAACUUUGUGAGAGAGACAAGUGGGUCAUAUAUUAAUAGUGAAUAGCUCAUUAUUGUAUGAGUGGGCUGUAAGAAGGCUGUAAAAAACCUUACAGCCAGCAAGUAGACUGUAUUAUUAAACUUGCUCUUAUAAGUGGUAUAGGAUCCUCAAGUGUGCACCUACGUUUGCCACAUUGGGUAGUGUUGGUUGCAACUUGGGCCUAUAUGUACACUGCUCAUCUGAUACGCGCACUGUUGCCUGGUGGCUGGUGCCGUACAAUCCAAGAAGCAGAAGCGGGUGGUUGUAGCUUGGAUUGAAAGCGUCGGCCGUGCCGUGCAUAAGCAAGCAAGUGUAUGAUGCAGCAGCAUGGGCUACGUACCUGUGGGGAUACCUGUGCUGUAUCGCGCGACGACUAGGUCGUUCCUUUUUUUUAAAAAAAAAUAAUGAAUUCUUAACACAAAUCAUAUCAGCAUAUGUAACAAGCAGCGCAUACGCAGAGCAUUUCCAAAUCAAACAAGAAUAUUAGCAUAAUAAAUAAUCUCACUACUGGCCGGGCUAAAUAUAUAUACACAGCUGGCUUACAAAUGUGCACACACGUUACAUGUACCCUCAAAGUACCAGCAGGUCCUUUUCGUUACGAAUCUAGCUAGCUAGAUAGCGUGUGAAAUCAAAACAAGCCGGGCGUUUUGUUGUGGAUCUGGGAUUGAAUUAUUAAUACGCGUAGUUUGAAUGGAGAAGUUAGCUAGCUAGCUAGGGUAGCUAAUGAAGGUGUGGGGAAGGAAUCCCGGUCGUACAGUGAGAGAGCUAUGGAACGAAUUCGCGACGCAAACAUGCAUCCGCAUAAAAACGAAAGGGUGAUGGCGGCACUAACAUGGCGCGCAUGUGCUUUGCGGCCACAUGCAUCCGAACACCCGAAUGAGAGGGUAUACACACACGGUCCCGGCCGGCGAUCGAUUUAGGCCUUGUUUAGUGCACCUAAAAACAAAAAAGUUUUUCAAGAUUUUCCGUCACAUCGAAUCUUGCGGCACAUGCAUAAAGUAUUAAAUAUAGACGAAAAUAAAAACUAAUUACACAGUUUUUCUACAAAUCGCGACACAAAUUUUUUAAUCUCAGUUAGUCUAUAAUUAGAUAAUAUUUGUCAUAAAUUUUUUAAUAUUUGUCACAAAUAACGAUCGCGGUGCCGACACUGUCAAUCUCAUGAGACGGAACGUGUCGGAACACACAGAAUUACUGCCGCCGCGCCGUCAUUUUCUAGGCUUCUUCUUCCCAGUUAAAGUUAGUAAUUACUGCAAGCACGCGUGCCGCCUCCGAUCCGGUAGGAGUACAAUCGUACGUUGGGUGGGGUGCAAAAGAUCGAUGGAGCACACACACGUCGUAACUGCUUCAACUGCUCACCACCACAUCUGGGAAUUGGAACAAGUACAGAAACAGCUGCGUGCAAGGCCGCCGUGCCAGCCGAUCCGGGAAGCUUCAACUCCAGCGCCAGAUUUAGCAAAGAUCAGGCACACAUCUCGCUCGGUCACCAACCCGGUGGCGGCCUGGCGGUUGGUUAGACGAGGAAUGGAGGCUGAAGCAAGCAAUGCAAGCUUGCAGUAGCCUUAGCCAUAGCUAGCGCGACUGUACUGCACGAUGGCUGAGCUACUGGGAUCAGCUUUUGCCUCUUGGAGCAGUAGUACCCUACAGGCGCCAUGCGGCAUUGCAGGUUGGCGCUUUGCCGAGACGGGGCACUGGGCCACUGGGGUAGGCACCAGGCAGGCAGGCACCACCGGCUCACCGCACCGGCAGGCGGCAGGCGGCAGGCGAGUGUAUGGUCACAGAUCUGCCGCGCGCACACUGCUGCUUCUGCUUGCACUAGCGCACCGGCCGAUCUUGUUCCGUCACUAGCGCACCCUCGCACAAUAACUCCCAUCAACGCCCAAUGGCGUCACGUUGCGUUCCUCAUUUACUCCCUCCUACCACACUUGCCAACUCCGCCUUCUGAGCGGGCCCCACCUCUCACACAGUCACACACACUCUAGUGUGUGCUACCUCUUCUCGCUCCUCUUUCUUCCUAUAUAUAUACACUUUCAUGGACUAAACUCGCCAGGAGCUUCAGCGCUAGCUCGAUCAGCAGCCACUGGCCGGUAGCUAGCUACCAGAGAGCACCCGAAGCUUAAGCUAGCUAGCAAUGGCUGCGGCGGCGACUCCUCCUGGUGGUCGUCCUAGCAGCAGCAGCAUUUCACGGCGCGCCGCCGCCGUGGUGCCGGCCUUGCUGCUGCUGGCGGCGGCGAUGGCCGCCUCCGCCGCCGACGCGCAGCCUUCCCCGGGGUACUACCCGAGCUCCAGGUUCAGGCCGGUGCCGUUCAACCGCGCCUACAACAACAAGUGGGGCCCGCAGCACCAGACGCUCUCCGGCGACCAUUCCGCCCUCACCAUCUGGCUCGACAGGACCUGCGGUAUGUUUAGUUUGUUUAUUAUUGCAGAAAUUUUACUGAAUUAACUACUGAUUAAUUCCCCACGAUACUCCGUAGCUAUAAUAAAACAAACAAAGAAAAUAAAAAUUCUUGCAUUUGUUUUGCUACAAGUGUCCCGAUCGAUGUCGCUGUAGCUGACUACUACCUGCGGCCGAGCCCAACUGCUCCAUGCAUGUGAUCGAUAUGGCCCAUUCUCCACGUAUUCGGACCUACCUUGCACUGUUUGUUUGUCGGUCUCGCUGCUUGCUGCCGUGCAUUAUUGUGAUAUAAGAGAGCGAGCGCUGGUCUUUUUCAACUGUUUGUUUCCACUAAAUAGCUCUCUGAUCUGAUCAUUUUUGCGAAUAAAUAAUGCGUGUGUGCAGGUAGUGGUUUCAAGUCGAAGCACGCGUACAGGAACGGCUACUUCUCCACUCGCAUCAAGCUCCCCGCCGGCUACACCGCCGGCACCAACACCGCCUUCUACGUAAGCACCACCACAUGCUGCUGACCGAUCGACCUGACUGACAAGCUUUAAUUUGGUGCUUGCAUUAUUUGUGCUAACACACACAUUCCACAUAUCUCGCAGCUGUCCAACAACGAGGCGCACCCCGGUUUCCACGACGAGAUCGACAUGGAGUUCCUGGGCACGAUCCCAGGCGAGCCCUACACGCUGCAGACGAACGUGUACGUGCGCGGCAGCGGCGACGGCCGCAUCGUGGGUCGCGAGAUGCGGUUCCACCUCUGGUUCGACCCCACCGCGGCCUACCACACGUACGCCAUCCUGUGGAACCCCGACGCCAUCACUUUCUUCGUCGACGACGUCCCCGUCCGCCGCUACGAGCGCCGCACCGAGCUCACCUUCCCGGACAGACCCAUGUGGGUGUACGGCUCCAUCUGGGACGCCUCCGACUGGGCCACCGACGACGGCCGCCACCGCGCCGACUACCGCUACCAGCCCUUCGUCGCGCGCCUCGACCGCUUCGUCGUCGCCGGGUGCUCUGUCUCCGCGCCCCCGGCGUGCAGGCCCGUGCCGGCGUCGCCGGCGGGGGCUGGGCUCACGGCGCAGCAGUACGCGGCGAUGCGGUGGGCGCAGCGGGACCACAUGGUUUACUACUACUGCAACGAUUUCCGCAGGGACCAUUCGCUCACGCCCGAGUGCUAGCCGCCCGGGUUGCUGUUGCUGCGCGGCGUGCCGCCCGCUUGAUUAAUUGGUGCUUUGUGUUUUGUUGUUUAUUUGUUAGUACUACUGCUACAGUGCUAGUACUACUAUUAUGGUGCAGGGGGGUGUGUGUGCAGUGGCUGCCCUACCACCGCCGCGGGGCGCUCUGUUUGUGAUGAGGCGCCGGCGGAGGCCGGUGGUUGUGGCGUGGGUCGUUGGCGUAUCGCCAACAAAGUGGUGUGUCGCCGUGUGCGUCUACGUACGUACGUACUUUUCUUGCCAUUGUUGCUUUGCAUUUGGUCUCGUCGCGUGCAUGCAUCACAUGCGAGGCGCCCCAAAGGGGCAAGCGUCCAUGAUUCAUGGCAUCAUAUGCAUGCCCACUGUAAUACGGAUAUACUACUAUGUAUACUUCAUAUAUAUUAUAUAUAUAUAUAUAUAUAUAUAUAUUUAAUACAUGUUUUCUGUCGGUGAGGAUUUAUAUGUGAUUGUUGUUGUCAUGCAAUUUUUUUUUACCUUUUACACAAUCGAUUUGUUGCUGUUGCUGCUGCUUUGAUGGCGGUCGGUGGUGGUGAGUACGAACACUUUACAUUGCUGGAGCUGUCUUGUUUAGUUCGUAAAAGUUUUUGUUUUUGUAGCAUUUCGUUUUUAUUUGACAAAUAUUGUCCAAUCACGGACUAACUAGGUUUAAAAGAUUCAUCUCACAAAUUACAGGUAAACUUUACAGUUAGUUUUUAUUUUUAUCUAUAUUUAAUGCUCCAUACAUGCGAUCAAAGAUUCGAUGUGACAGAGAAUCUUGAAAAUUUUUGCGAACUAAACAAGUCCUGAUUUUCUCAGGCUGUGUACUAUUGUCAACAUCACCGUGGACCAGGGGAAAAAUAAUAAAAAGGGCUGCAUUUACGUGCAGACAUUGACCAUAGCAGUGUCCAGUGGGCCGGGCCUGCCGCUUGCCGCAUGGCGAACGCCAGUGCGGCAGUGCCACUCGGGUUGAUGUAGGGCCUCCAGGGCUGUCAUAGUGUCAUGAUGCAGCCAUGACGUCAUAAGAGAAGACAGCUGUUUGGGCUGAAUACAGAAGAGUAACGACUGUACUUGGGCUCUUUGGGCUGAAUAUAGGAAAACAGAUGUCAAUGGGCUUUUACAUCUCAGCUUUCUUCGGGCCAUGCGCUACACUAGGCCUAAACUGGACCUUUACCUUUUCCAUCACAAGCGAUUUGGCCUGAGAGCCUUCCAAAAUAGGAAAAAGUCUCUCACGAUAAUCUGAUUUUUGUCCCUCAAGUUCAAAACUGGACAAACCACCUCCCUCAACUUCUUAAACAUGCAUUUUAUUUUCUUGGAGUGGUUUCAAAGGCGGUUUGUUACAAUAAAUAGUGGUUUUGCUACACUGACGGUGGUUUUGUCUUUUUCCUUUUUAAUUAUUUCGGCUGAAUUUUUUUAAAAAUCAUAAUCAUAAAAUGGAAAAUUAGAUUUUCCAUUUUAUGAUUUUCCUGUGAUUUACUAUGUUUUUUAAAGAUUCAGGCGAAAUAAUUAAAAAAGAAAAAGACAAAACCACCGGCACUGUAGCAAAACCGGCUUCGAAACCGCUCUAGGGAGGUAAAAUACACGGUUUGAAAAGUUGAGGGAGGUGGUUUGCCUGAUUUUGGAGUUAAUAGAAGAAAAUCGGCAAGAAAAGUAGACUUCUUCUCAAAAUAAAAAGUUGUGAUUUCGCAUUUCCAAACAAAGAAACUCCCUCUUUAAGUCUCUCUUAAUUUUCAGCAUAUGCCAAACACGGGAUUGGUAGUAUAAAUCAAACUCCCACAUCAAAUUCCCUCCGCUAAUUCCCGCCUCCAAUUACCAUACCCUUUCUCUGAACUUGCCAAACACUCCUUCUUUAAGUCUCUCUUAAAUUUGGCUUGAAGUAUGUUGCUGAAAAUAGGGUCUCAACAUUUGAGAGUGAAAAUUUGUGAUAACACUAUAAUCAAUUUCUAUUGCCAUCAGAGAUCUCCUUUGGAUUUAAAAUUGCAUAUAUGAAAGCUUUUUACGUGUGUUCUUCGGUUGAUCCUUACUAUUGUAUAACUUCGCUUUAAGUGCCAACGUUUUUAUUGCAAUUGUGAUACAAAUAGUCUGUGGCGCUAAUUUAUGGUUCCUCGAUCUCCAUGCAACCAAAGCAUAUGAGAACGAUGGUGACAUCAUUGUUCACAUUGAGCGCACCCUCAAUUCUCCAACCCCAAUCCCGAACGAAUAAAUAAUUGCAAAUGGAUUUGAUCUGCUAUUCCUGUAUUUAGCUCCUGUUUGUUUUUUUAAAUGAUUCUGAAAGUAAAUUUGUAUUUUAGUGCUGCAGAAAAAGGUUUAAUUGCAAGCAACACUGAAAGUAUAAAUUUGAUCUCCAUAUGUUGCACACUUGCUACCCACCCUACCACCGUACUUUGUCCCGCGAAAUUAUUUCUUCCCUAUCGUUUAUUAAUUCCUUAUGUUUCUUCCUACAACAGGUCACAACAACCAGCAAGAUGCAUGCUUCCAGUGUUAUAUUAUAUCGUAGCUUCAGUUACAUGUAACCUACUAUAGUUGUGUAAUGUCACCGACCAUGGAACUAUUUACUUAACUGCUUCGUUUAUUUUUUUUAAAGAACUACUUACAGAACUUCAGAUGUGAAAUACGAUAUCCAGCAUAUUUUCUUUGUCUUCAUGAUCCUUCCUGUGCCUGCCUAUGCGCGUUUUGAAGGGGGGGGGGGGGGGGGGGGGGGGGGGGGUUGGAGUUGUUCGUUGCCUAGAUAGCGUCGUUUGAGUUGUGGCAAUCAAGUGGUACAAAGUCACUCUCGUCAAUCUUGUGUCAUUGAUUGCCCAUAUAGUGUCGCUUGAGCUGUGGCAACAAGAAGGUGUCACUAAACUUGUGCAGUGUAGCAUUCGUCUUUAAGUUGCAUUCCCUUUAAUUGUGGUGAGAAGAUGGAACCAAAGUUGUGCUUAUAUUCAGUGGACGGAUGUUUGCGACUUCAGUUCGGCUCGUGACCAGCCGACACAACGCCAUAGUUCUAUACAUAUACCAAUGUAAAGUCCUAUACUUCCCACCCUAGGCUUUGUCGUCGUUGAAUCCGCGUCAUGGCAACUUGUAUUGGUACAUCAAAACCUUAAUUGCGUUGUCGUUUCAGCAUGUGUUGAGAUGUCUAAUUAUUAUUUUGUUCGCGUUGCAAUAGACGUACAUGAUUUUAGUAACUUAUAAUUUGAUAGGUAGUAAAUCAAUUGCUCCACCUCGGAGUCCAAUAUUAUUCGUUUGUUCCAUGUAACAUAGAUUCACAUUUUGCUCCUCGUCAUCUUCUCGGGGAGUUGCUUCUUCAAGAAGUGACAUUAUGUUUGACAAAAUACGACAAAGAACUUUUGUGUAUUAUUUAAGUGUUCGCUACUGAAAACUAUGAUUGAAAAUAAUAUUCGCUAAUUUUUGUGAAAGAAAAAUACUGUUAGCUGAUAGAAAAAGUACGAAUCACCAAGAACUGCAGAUUUUGGCUUGCCGAAACUCACAACGCGAUAGAAUCCCUAAUCACAGACGGGCCUCAACUCCAUCAUAAACGGCAAUUUCACGCAUCUGUGUUGAUGUGUCUAUGAUUUGAUCACUCAUAAACGAUGCUACAACUCGCAAAAAUUAUUGGAGCAUUAACGAUGCUAACAAUAAUUAUUGGAGCAGGAACAGUCACAUCAUUCCUCCCCUACCCCGCUAGAAGCAAAGUUGUCCUCCUCGUCUUUGGAGGAAUUUCAGCAAGCCUAUUCUUCUUUUACACUGGGGUAAAAAAAAAAGAAGGAAAAAGAAAAACCACUCUGCCUGCUACGCCUCACCAUCAGCAGGCCUAGCAGACGGUUCUCCUCCUGAUUCACGUGCGCGUGCUGAUGGGGGCCCAUGUGGCCAGGGUAUGCAGGUGGCUGCUGUGCUCGUGGGCCGUUGGCCGUGGUCCACGCGUUGGUGUGCUGGCGACUCCAAGGUGCGAGUCGUGGAGAGGUAUGAGCUGCUAGAGUUUCUCAAAGGAUAAGUGGCUGCUGCUGUACCCGUACAUCGUGGACCAUACUAGCAUAGUAUGCAGGGUGGUGACUGUUGACUUGUUGAGCUCGCGACGUUUCUUAUCCGAAUUCUGACUUUCUGAGAACUAGGUUGCAGCGCUGGCCUGGGUCGGACCAAUUGUGCUGCCCACUUGCACGAGGUUUGCCCUCCUCAUUCAAUCACCUCAGUGUACACAGUCCUCCAUGGCUGAAGCAGCAGCCAUGCGAGCUGUGCUCGAGGCGCCCGGCGUUAAGGGCCUGGAGGUGCUCCGCCUCCCGUACGACGAAGCUACUACUACUAACGAGAAGGACGCCGUCACUGCUCUUAUCCGCCGCAUUGUCGUCACGGCCAGCGAUCCUCCGGUGACGAGCGCGUUCAGCGUGCUAAACCUCAGCAAGGUGGCGGAGCUGUUCUCGGCGUGGCGGCGUGGGCUCGAGGGUGUCCCGCCGUACUACGCCGUCAAGUGCAACCCCAACCCGGCGCUGCUCGGAGCGCUGGCCGCUCUCGGCGCCGGCUUCGACUGCGCCAGCCCCGCCGAGAUGGACGCCGUGCUCGCGCUGGGCGUCCCCGCCGACCGCAUCAUCUACGCGAACCCGUGCAAGCCCGAGUCGCACAUCCAGCACGCCGCGAGCGUCGGCGUUGACCUCACCACCUUCGACUCGGUGGAGGAGGUGGACAAGCUGAGGCGCUUCCACCCCAGGUGCAGGCUCCUGCUCCGUCUCAAGGUCCCCGACGCCGCCGGAGGCGCCCUGCUGGACCUGGGCACCAAGUACGGCGCGCGGCAGGAGGAGGUGGCGCCGCUCCUGCGCGCCGCGCAGAGCGCGGGCCUGGCGGUCUCGGGCGUCGCGUUCCACGUCGGGAGCGCCGUGUCCCGCGUGGGCGUCUACGACGCGGCCGUGGAGGCGGCCCGCGCGGUGUUCGACGCCGCCGCCGCCACGCGCGGCAUGCCACCCAUGCGCGUCCUGGACAUCGGCGGGGGGUUCACGGCCGCCGCCACGUUCCAGGACGCAUGCGACGUGAUAAACUCCGCGCUGGCGCGCCACUUCGGGGACGACCUCCUCCCGGGCCUCCAGGUGAUUGGCGAGCCGGGGCGUUACUUCGCCGAGACGCCGUUCACGCUCGCCGCGCGCGUUUUCGGGAAGCGCACGCGUGGCGAGGUGCGCGAGUACUGGAUCGACGACGGCUUGUUCGGCACGCUGUGCUGCGUCCACAUGGAGAACUACGUGCCGCGCCCGGUGCCAGUGUUGCGUCGUCGCGCUGCCGGCGACGAUGACGACGAAGGCGAUGAGAGUGAGACACACCCGUCGACGGUGUUCGGUCCCACGCUCGACUCGUUCGACGUUGUGGUGAAGGGUUACCAUCUGCCAGAGCUGCGCAUCGGGGACUGGCUGGUGUUCCACGACGUUGGCGCCUACACCACCGCGCUGAGCUGUGACUUCAAUGGCUUCUCCACGUCCGACAUGAAGACCUACCUCGCCUUCUCCUCUGUCUAGAUUUCAAUCUACUAGUACCCUUGUUUAGGAACAAAAUUCUAUGCGCAUUACAACUUUUCGGGCUGGUUUGGAUUUAACCAUUCCCUUUAUGGCUUGGAGGGGAUUGUGUGAGAAUUUGCCCUCCAGUCCCCAGGUAAAAUGAUUCGCUCGGGCUGUUUAGUUUCCCAAAAAAUUUGUAAAGUUUUCAAGAUUCUUCGGAACAUCAAAUCUUACUGCACAUGCAUAAAAUAUUAAAUAUAGAUAAAAAAAUAAUUUAGCUAAAGUUAGGAAAUCUUAAAAAACGGUGAAAAUAUUUUGGUUUGUUUUUAGUGUUUUCAAGUCAUAUUCUAAAAUGAAAAUUUUUUGGAUGUGACAAGACGCCAGAAUCCACAAUGUCUUUCAUGUCGGCAAACUCAAGGAACACUGGGAAAUUCCUUCAACAACAACACUUCCCGUACCAAUGAUCGAUGACGGAAUAGUCAUCCCAUAACCUGAACUCAUGCUCCGAAACUACGUGAUCGCCUGAUCGGUGGCAGACUACAGGUACUCAUCAUAUGGAAAAACUAGCCCUCAAGUGAAUCAUUUUGGGAGGAUGCGUAGACAUUCCAAAAGCUCAACCCCAAAUUCCAGCUCAAGGACGAGGUCAUUCUCUAGGCAGUGGGAGAUGGCAUACCCAACAGGAGGACUACCAGAAGUAUCACCGUCAAGGUGGCUACGGAAGUGAUUUAGAAAGGGAUAAAGUCCUUAAUUGUAAUAAGAUUAGGUUAAAUUAGUCAAAUAGGGCCCAUGGGCCUAAGCCCAUUAACAUGUAAGCCCCAUAUAUAUAUGAGGGGUAAAUAAGGAAAUGGAAAAGCUAGUCGUGGGGUUAAACCUAUUUCUCCUCUUCUUGCUGUCCCCGCUGUUGUUGCCUCCUUGCUUGGUGCGCCGCCGCCGCCGCCGAGCCUCUAGCCGUGUCACACCGCCAGUCACCAGGGCCGCCGCACCGUGAGCCACGCCUCACGCCACCCCCUCAGCACGCCAGUGCCAGCCCUAGCCGCGGCCCUGGCCUGCCGCCCCUUCCCGUGCAAAUCUCCUCUCCUUCUCCAAACCAGACCUAAAUCCGCUCCCUGUCGGCUGUCGCCCUUACUGCUAGGAAGGAUUUUGGACCGUGACAUUUCUGCUUUCAACUUGGCGAGAACCACUGCCAUCGAAGAAACGCCUCUCUGCAUUGAUCCUCGACAUUGAUUUGCUCUCUCUGGUUUGUCCUCUUGGCCUCAGUAACCCCUUUUUUUCUUCUUUGGCAUCUAUUUUCACAAUCCUCUUUCUCAUGCCCCACCUUUUUUCCUCUGUUUGGUGGCUCCAUUGUCAGAUCUAUUGCCAUGUGAACCGUCUUCAUGACUGCUCGGGGCGCCUAAGUGGUCUAUCGUCGUAGGCUUCUGUUGAAGCUCACUAGAUCUUGACCGCUACCUACCCUCAAUUCAGCCCAAAGACUCGAUCACUUGAGGUCCUCAUACUAGGAGGGAGGCGUGUGAAAAGAAAACACAUAUUGAUACGGUAUGCUUUAAAUUUUCUUUCCUUUUUUUUAUUUUCUGAGCAACCUUUCUCUUUUUUUUUCCUAUUUGAUGCGAUGUGAUCAAAUCCUUCUCUCGUCUUGUUAGUAGACUCUCGUUAUCGUAUCCUUCCUUAUAAACUUCAUUUGAUAACUUCUGCUUUAAUAAACUACUACUUUGUUGUCACUUUCAUUCCAUAAUUUCUCUAACCCUGAGGUGAGUUGUUGAGACAAAUAGACCCCUUUGGAGGAAAUUAGUGUGCCUAAUUCUAAAAAUCAUGGGGAUAUAGUUUAAGGUUUAUUUGGUUGAGCUCCGUUAGCUCAAGCUUCGGCCGCUAUUAUAGUUGGCUUCUUUGGUGGGCUUGUCACGACUUUAACUUAUACACUUUAGGCUUUCUCCAAUAGGAGACCCAUUAGGAGACUCAAACCCAAAAUGGGUCUCCAACACAAUAUCUAUAGCCUCUAACAGAGUACCUAUAUCGAAGACUCAUUUAGGGUGUUGGGAGAGGCAUAACCUAGAUAUGAGUAUCUUCUCUCCUUAAGACCUAUUUGCAGAAAAAAUUCUCUUUUGUGUCUUGUUGUUGGACAAGACUAAAAAUGAGUACAUAACCUUUUGCUUAUAACGCUAGCCAAACUUCAAAUGGAUUUUGUAUUUUAGGUAAGAGCAGGUACAAUAAUGGGCUUAUAGCCAAGCUAAUGCUGAUGUGGAGGAGAGAAGAGAAGAGAGAUAUGAUAACUUGGCUCUUAUGCAAGCACCAAGCUAGGCACGGUGUUGUGAGAAGGAAUAGAAAAGAGAAUGUGCUUUAGAGAUAAGUAGGAGAUAACUUAUUGUAUAACUUGGCUCUAUUAUUGACCUAGCUAGGGUUGUUAGAGACGGUCUUUGUACACUGUAUCACUAUUGUAGGAGAAGUCAAUGAAGCCCCUCUAGGCUGGCUUCGCUGCCUUCUUCUACUUGCAAAUUUAUUUUGGUCUUGAGAGAGGAAAAUAGCUUAUGCAAAAGCCAAAAGCUAAAAUACAAAGGCAAACUUCAUUUUGAGCUUCACUGUUUUCUUCUACUCUAUAUUAUUUUGUUUUGAUUUUUUUGGUAUAUCUAUUUUACUAUGUAUGUAGACAUGUGUUAUAUCUAAAUAUAUAGUAAAGUGGAUCGAUCAAAGAAGUCGAAGUGACUUAUAAUUUAGAAUCAAGAAGUACUUGUUAGCACUAGUGGUAUUAUUUAUUUAUUUAUAAAAUAAAAAUACUACUACUUUUUAAGAUAUAAAUAUUUCUACGUAAUAAUGACAAUCGUCUGGCUUCAUAAAAUUUCAGCCUUUCAAGCUUCCACCACUGGUGUAGCAGAAACCGGAGGUUUUCAUCUUGUGAAAGUGACGCUGCAGUGAUUUGCAGAGGGAGACGGAGCUGGCCGCUGGCGCCUUGGGAGUUGGGACUUGGGACGCGAUGGUAGGCCGAUGCCGUUGCCCGCCGCCGCCGCCGCCGCCCGGGCUUCGCCGUGUCACACGGUCCCAGAGCCGGGUGGACCGCAUCAGCGCACUCCCGGACGACCUCCUCCUCCAGGUCCUCACCCGCCUCCGCUGCGCCCGCACCGCCGCGCGCACUUCCCUUCUCGCCCGCCGGUGGCGCAAAGUCUGGCCGGGCCUCCUGGAGGUCUCCUUUCGCGGGCUCGCGCCCGACGCGAUCCACGCGGCGCUCGCUCGGUUCACCCGAACUUUGUUGACGGCCAUCGACAUCCACGUCUCCAUGGGCACGGGACAUGGCGCGCUAGACGCCGGCAGCGUCACCGACUUGCUCCACGCCUCCGCGGAUCGGUCGCCGGUGAAGUUCGCCCUCACCAUCCCGGUCGACCUCCGCCGCUUCGAUUUCACCACAUGGGUCGAACUGCCGCGCUUCGAUUUCGCUACAUCGAUCGAGCUGGACGUGCAGAACGUUCACUUUGCCCUGUCGGCGGCGACGGAGUUCCCGGCGCUGGAGACGCUGUCCCUCGCCGGCUGCAUCAUGGACAUGGCCACCUUGGUGCCCCGCUGCCCGCUCCUGCGCGCUCUCAGCGUCACCAGGACGCCGGACGAGGUGGACACGAUCACGGUGCACUCAGAGUCACUCCAAGAACUCGUCGUGAGCACGUUCCGGUCCACGUCCACCAUCGACAUUGUGGCCCCUGCGCUCAGGAAGCUGACGAUGGCCAUGGACAGGGGGAUAGACAACAGCUUGUCGGUGGUGGCACCAAUGGUGGAGGAGGUCACUUGGCGGUGCCUGUACUACUCCACGUAUAUUGGGAUAGGCAAAAUGUGGCGCGUCGGUUCCCUCAAAGUACGGGCGGUGGAGAAGAUGGAGCUCACCGACGACGCCGCCGCCGAGGAGGAGGGUAGCCAUCAGCCCCGUCGUGCCCAUGUCCUGUCGCUGGACAUACUUGACGUUCGUCUCAGGCUCUCGUGCUCAUUGAUUUCCUAGCUUGAUUCGUGGACUUUUUAAUUGGUUUCUAAAUUGUAUGCUGCCCGAUUGUUUUGUAGACCCCUUAUCCUUCACAGAGAGAUUUUGCAGAAGAAUUGGAGAAAAUCCCUGUUCCCACAUUCUCUGUCCUAGAGCUGAAGAUCGCAACACGGAGCCAUGUUCUUGGACCACUGCUGUUGAACCUGCUUCGGAUUUGCAAUGCAGUGCAAAGGCUUGACAUGGUUCUUGUGGAUACCCCGGUACAUAUCUACUCUUCUUUAAAUAUAUACGUCUAAAUGACUGUGCGUUUGCAGUGUAAUUAAUUUAUAUAUGGUACAUUUUGUUCUAGGUGCAAGUGACAGAGUCUUGCGACAAACGGUGUCCUUGUCAGGAGAAUAAUAGGAAGUGGAGAAAAAUAGGUGCAAGUGAAAGACUCUUGAUCGAUCUCACAGAAGUGCAGAUCAAAGGAUUCAAAGGCGAUGAUGAAGAAAUCCAUUUCCUCAAACUGCUCUUCAGAUGUGCACCGAUGCUUCAGACGAUGACUCUGAAAUUGUCUGACGGGGUCACUGAUGACUGGUACAAUAUAUUCCUCGACACCGUCCAGGAGUACCCUUAUGUGAACUCCAGUGUUUGUAUUGGUUGAUUAGGAUUAGCAUGAUUCAAGCUGCAGUAAGAAUCGUUGUCGUCAGUUGUUAACUUUUUAUUUAGAGACUAGUUGAAACCCAAACCUUGUGGUUUAUUGUUGCUAGCAAUAUAUGUACCUGCAGUAUCAUGCUUAGAGCAACUCCAACCAUUAUGCAAAUGGACUUGGCAUUUACCAAAAUGCAUAAAACUCCAAAAAAACCCCUCCAAUCGUUAUGCAUUUGGACUUUGCAUUUUACAUAGCUAUGCAUUUGGAGGGGGACACUUGGCAUAUAUGCCAAAGGAGUCCAGCUAUGCAAAUAGAGAUCAAGGGAUUCUCGGUUUCACCUCGCGGACUUUUUUCUUUCCUUCGCGCGGUUUCCCUUCGCGUCGCCACCACUUCGCGCGAUAGGAGAAGCAUCGCGCGUCCUCCUUCGCCAGCUUCGCGCGCGCGUUUGGACGAAGCAGCGCACAAUAGGACGACGCAGCGCGCGAUAGGACGAAUCUACGACGCCUUGCUCAUCAACGGCGGCCAGGUACGCCUUCUCCAUCAAACCUUGAAGCCCGCAACUGAUAACAACUGCGCAGCUCAGUACAUCGAACAAAGACCACAUGAAUUGGAUCAAGAUAUUCGGCUACGAAGUUCAAACCUUGGCGAUGCGCUGUGCUAGAUCCAUUCUCCGGUACCCUCGAUCCCAUGUUGGCUUCACGAAAUUCUACUGCUCGCGAGCUGCAACGGCUUGACUGAUGGCGGCGACCGGAAACUGAUGGGGAACAGGACCUGAUGGAGAUCGGUACUGGAGCCAAAGGGCGAACCUGUACGACGACGAACUGAUGGCCAACAGACGACGAACUGGUACGGUGAACGGGAACUAACGGAACGGGAGAUCGGUACUGCGUUCGGUACUGCGAACGGGAACGACGAACUGCGCAGCUCACGAUCGGUACUGCGCGGCUGUUUGGCGCUGGAAUUGGUGAACGGGAGACGACGGCGGGCUGUUUGGCGCGGGAUCUAUUGGCCGCGCGGGAAGGAGUGCCGCGAAACAAAAUUUCCGGAAAAAAAAGAUGAUGAACUUGGCAUUUUGCAUAACGGUUGGAGAUCACCCGAUUUUAGCCUUGCCAUUUUCAUUUGGGGGUUUACAAUUUGCUUAAAAUGCAUAACUUCAAAUACAUAAUGGUUGGAGAUGCUCUUAGAAACUUUUAUGCAGUUAAGUUAGUGUGUCUUCCAUGUUGUAUGGAUUUUUAUCAGGCGUUGGAAACUGCCAUUGCCAGAUCCCUACUUUGGUGCUGUGCGCAAAAUCUCAGAAUCUUUGAAUGAAUUCUGUAGUCCAUAUUGUAAGAGAACUGUGUUCCGGCGCAGCUUAACUUCACCACCGGCUCAACUUCAUCAGCACAACUUAGUUCUAUACAAGAUAUAUUGUCCGAUAUUGUAGUUCAAGAGGUUCUUUCAAAAUCAACGACUAGUUCACGAGUUAAAUCGGAUUUUACUCUUCCAAAUAUGUCCCAAAUUCAGCCUAUAAAGAUUUGAAUACCCUUGCGUCAUCGUACUUUCCUCCUGUUUCCUCUUUGUUUUACCUCUACUACAGCCUCCAUGAUUCAAAACCAGGUUAGACUUUAUUUGGAUGUUGUCAGAUUCAUCUCAAUCCAUCUAUAUUAAAGUGGAUUAAGGUGGAAUUUAGUUUAAAUUUUACUUUAAUCCACCUCAAUAUAUAUAAAUUGAUGUGAAUCUGACUACAUCCAAACAAGGCCUUACGCAGAAGUAAUGGACGAACAGAACUGUGACUUUCAGACGUCGUGGCGCCGAACCAAACGCCCAAAGCGACCAAAGACCAACGCACACGCACGUGUCGCUCGGCGCCGUCGCCGCCGUUCCGCGAGGCGACAGGCGUCGACCUCUCCCGCCUGCAUGGCUGCCACUUCGAUCGCCUCCCUCGCUUAUUGACUAACGACGCCCGCCUGCCUCAGCAGUCAGCACACUCGACCGCCAAAGAAUCUCGCCGCCAUGGCGUCCCAGCUUGCCGUCCUCCUCAUCCUGCUCCUGCCACUCGCCGGCGCGUCCACCGACGACGGGUUCAUCCGGCAGGUGACGGAUGGUCGUCGUUCCCGCGCUGGCGCGGGCGCCCUAGGGCUGCUCCCGGAGGCGCAGUUCGCGGCGUUCGUGAGGCGGCACGGGCGGCGGUACUCCGGGCCCGAGGAGUACGCGCGUCGGCUGCGCGUGUUCGCGGCCAACCUGGCCCGCGCGGCGGCGCACCAGGCGCUGGACCCGACCGCGCGCCACGGGGUCACGCCCUUCUCCGACCUCACGCGGGAGGAGUUCGAGGCCCGCCUCACGGGCGUGCGCGCCGGCGCCGGCGGGGACGUCCAGCGGCUCGUGAUGAGUGGCGCGCCGGCCGCCCCGCCGGCGUCGCAGGAGGAGGUGUCCCGGCUGCCCGCCAGCUUCGACUGGCGCGACAAGGGCGCCGUCACCGGCGUCAAGAUGCAGGGCGCGUGCGGGUCGUGCUGGGCGUUCAGCACGACGGGCGCCGUGGAGGGCGCCAACUUCCUCGCCACGGGGAAGCUCCUCGAGCUCAGCGAGCAGCAGCUGGUCGACUGCGACCACACGGUGCGUGCGAGCAUCUGAUUCUGAUCUCUGCCCUCUCUCGAUCGAUCUCUCUUCUCCGAAUGAAAUCGUCCAGUUCGAUGAAGGAUUAUUUACAGCAUGUCGCGAUCGCUUUGUACUCCCAUCCCAUGUUUCCAGUGCAGCGCGGUGGCGCAGAACGAGUGCAACAACGGCUGCGCCGGCGGGCUGAUGACGAACGCGUACGCGUACCUGAUGAAGUCCGGCGGGCUGAUGGAGCAGCGGGCGUACCCGUACACGGGCGCGCCGGGGCCGUGCCGCUUCGACCCGGCGAAGGCCGCCGUCCGCGUGGCCAACUUCACCGCGGUGCCGGCCGGCGACGAGGCCCAGAUCCGCGCGGCGCUGGUCCGGCGCGGUCCCCUCGCGGUGGGGCUCAACGCGGCGUUCAUGCAGACGUACGUGGGCGGGGUGUCGUGCCCGCUCCUCUGCCCGCGCGCGUGGGUCAACCACGGCGUGCUCCUCGUCGGCUACGGCGCGCGCGGCUUCGCGGCGCUGCGGCUGGGCUACCGCCCCUACUGGAUCAUCAAGAACUCGUGGGGAGAGCGGUGGGGGGAGCAAGGGUACUACCGCCUCUGCCGCGGCAGCAACGUAUGCGGCGUCGACAGCAUGGUCUCCGCCGUCGCCGUGGCGCCGGUGCCGUGAACCAACCCAAACCACCGGGGCCGGGCCGGUGGCCAGGGUGUAUUAGUGGAACGGUAGUUCCGGACGUGGCAUGGUAUUGUUGAUGCAGUAUAUAUGUACAAGCGAAUAACAACACUGAUACGUAUCCGUUUGGCGCAGCUUUGGCUCAACUUUCAUCGGCAUAGCUUAGCUCAACUUCAGGGGUGAAGCAGUUUUUUUUUUCCUUUCAACAAUCAACUUUACCAGUGAAGCUAAAGAUGUUUCAGUGAAACUAAAGAUGUUAUGAUGAAUCAUUUGGUAAAACAAUUCUAUAUAUCGAGUCUUUACAGUCCCUUGAAACAUGGUCCAAGCUGAUGGAUGUGUUAAAAGGAUAACCUUAACAUUCGGCAACAUAGACCAGAUCGUGUGUAUACAUAUGUGUUAUGACCAGAUGCGUUAGACUCGAUCAUGUGUUAACCCAUGAAUAGGAGUAGUCACGUAUGAAUAGGAGCACAUUGAUUAUUGUCCAUGUAAACAAUACUGCAUAAUCUUCAAGAGGUCUAUUUAUGUAUGGUGCCACGGAUGGGGCUUUUUCAUCCAUUGAGAAACACGCAUUCACCAAGGACCCAAGAUAGGGCCUGGUGCUUCCACCAUCUGCGCCUCUGAUUAUUCUUUACAUGGUAUUCAGAGCCUAAUCUCCACAAAAUCCAAUCCACCAAAUCUAGCGCCAUGUCUAGCUCAAAUUCAUCAACCAAUUUUUUCUCUAGCAUAGAUGUCUCAGAAAAAUUGGGAAAGGUGAAUCAUGCGCUGUGGAAAGCCGAAGUUCGUUCAGCCAUACGUGGCGCUCGUCUUCAGAGCUUUUUACCUAAAAGCCAUUAUAAAAGAUGGGUCAAACCUCUGUGCCCUUAAAAGUUCGUUCGCACCUGUGUGUCUAAUUUUAUCUUCGUCUAUACUCAUGCGCCAUUCCGUCUCCAUUCUGUCUGUUUUCUACCGUUUGCAGCUCUAACAUGUGGGACCAGACAGAGAAAAUGUCCAUCUUGCCCUCGCUUGCAUGGUUGAGAACCCGCACCGGCGCCGGCGUACAUAUGCAUGCAGAAGCCGCAGCCGUGCGUACGUAUGCAUGCAAUUUUUUUCUCCCUUUCUUUCGCAGAGUUCGGCGCACGUGCGUCCACGUAUGACUUUGCCAUCGUCUCGCCAGCAGGCAGCGCAGCGCCAAGAACGAGUGCCCCCUGUCUUGGCUGCGCCGCCCCUGCGGUUCGCUCGUACCUAACCCUUGCAGCUCGCCAUCGAACCGCAGCUACCACUCCAUCUGGUGGAGCAUCCCAUAGAUGUCGCGCGUCCUCGGGUGCGACAUGUCCUACGAGACGAACCGGUGCAGCUCGCCGCGUACCUCAACGGCGCUGAACCCGGGGAACUGCGCGAGGCCCCGGUCCACCGCCUCUGUCCGGUAUGCCGCCGCGUCGGGUGCGUGGCUCUCCCGGGCCAUCGCGUCGAACACUUGCAGCGCCUUCCGCCCGUCCCCGUGCAGCGCCAACCCAGAUAGCAUGGCGCUGUAUGCCCAUGCGUUCUAGUCCUUCAUCACGUCGAACGCCUGCAACUGACAAUGGAAACGAAGAAAUGUCACAUCCUUCCGAGCGGCAGCCGCGUCGACGGUUGCAGAAGAGCACACUCCUUGGUUGAGCGCGAGCUGAAGCUGUCACCUGCCUCCCUUCUUGAAAAGCCGCGAGCUGCGCGCACGCUUUGAGCACGAACACAGGAAUGUGUGGCUGUCCGGCCAGCCCGAAAGCGCGCACGCCGCGAGCAGCGGCCGUGCGUGCCGCGGGUAGCGGUCGAGGCCCAGCUUGAUGUGCCACGCGUGCGCCUUCCGAACGUCGUCCGAGCUCCGCGCCGAGACGGCCACCGGCGCCGGCGCCCUGCCACAUGGCUGCGCCUGGUCCCUCGGCGGCGCCGGUGCGGGUUCUCUGCUAGUAGCCAUGCAAGCGAGGGCAAGAUGGACAUUUUGCCUGCUUGGUCCCACAUGUCAGAGCUGUAAACGGUAGAAAACAAACAGAAUGGAGACGGAAAUGGCGUACGGGUAUAGGCGAAGAUGAAGUUGGACACACAGGUGCGAACGAACUUUUUAGGGACAUAGAGGUUCGACCCAUCUUUUAUAAUGGCUUUUAGGUAAAAAGCUCUCGUCUUCAAGGGCACAUCACCGGCGACACCAAGGCUCCCGAAGAAGAGCUCGUCGCCACCGUUGAAGGAAAAGUAGAAAAGAGGCCGAACCCGGCUUUUGAGGAGUGAGAAGCCAAGGACCAACAGGUCCUACGGUUUCUUCUAUCGUCGCUCACCAAGGAGGUGAAAAUCCAAGUCUCUACAUGUGAGACUGCAGUGGCUGUCUGGAAUGCCAUCGAGCAGAUGUAUGCGUCUCAAACGCGUGCAUGCACGGUGAACAUUCGCGUCGCCCUCGCCAACACCAAGAAGGGAAAUUACACCGCUGCCGAGUACUUCGCGAAGAUGAAGGCGCUCGACGACGAGAUGGCUGCAGCCGGACGACGGCUUGAUGAUGAAGAACUGGUAGAGUAUAUACUCACCGGACUAGGAGAAGACUACACUUCUCUAGUCACAACCCUAACUGCUAGGGUCGAGCCCAUCACAGUUGGGGAGUUGUACUCACAACUUCUUAACUUUGAGACUCGUAUGGACCUGAUCUAUGGAGGCAAUAGUCCAGGGUCUGGAUCCGCGAACGCCGCCAGUCGGGGACGUGGUGGUUUCGCAAGAGGAGGCCGCAACCAAAGAGGACAUGGCGGCCAGAACAAUCAGCGUGGCCGCGGGCGCGACAGUGCUUCGGCACGUGGUCGCGGCAACGUCAACAACGCGUCACAAAGGGGUGGCGGGCGCGGUGGCUACAACAACAACCACCACCGUGCACCGCCAUCUGAUGGCGAUGAACGCCCUCUAUGCCAAGUCUGCUUCAAGUCCGGGCACACAGUGGAUCGAUGCUGGCACAGGUAUAAUGAGAACUAUGUGUCAGAUCCGAAGCUAGUCGCAGCUGCAAUGAACUCCGACACCAUUGACAACAAUUGGUACACCGACAUCGGCGCCACCGAUCAUAUCACAGGUGAGCUGGAGAAGCUGUCUUUAAGAAACAAGUACAAUGGAGGAGAUCAGAUCCACACAGCAAGUGGUGCAGGUAUGAAUAUUAGUCAUAUUGGUCAUACUACUGUUCGUACCCCUAAUCGUGAUAUUCAUCUUAAAAAUGUUCUCUAUGUUCCCCAAGCAACAAAGAAUCUUGCUUCUGUUCAUAAAUUAGCUUCUGAUAAUUCUGCAUUUUUAGAAUUUCAUCCAAACUUCUUUUUGAUAAAGGAUCAGGCAACGAAGAAUACAAUUCUUAGAGGGAAAUGUCACAACGGGCUUUAUCCUCUUCCUUCAUUUCCAAUAAAACAAGCUUGUGGUGCCGCCAAGAUUCCCUUGUCAUGAUGGCAUUGUCGCUUAGGUCAUCCAUCUUCAACUACUGUUAAACAAGUUGUUAGUAGAAAUAAUUUGUCUUGCCUAGAUAAAUCAUCUAGUGAGUCGGUUUGUAAUGCAUGUCAGCAAGCUAAGAGUCAUCAGUUGCCUUAUUCGAGAUCUUCAAGUGUGUCUACUUUUCCUUUAGAACUUGUGUUCUCUGAUGUCUAGGGGUCUGCACCAGAGUCAGUUGGUAGAAAAAAAUACUAUGUGAGUUUUAUUGAUGAUUACAGUAAAUUCACUUGGAUCUAUCUUUUAAAGUACAAGUCUGAAGUUUUCCAUAAAUUUCAAGAAUUUCAGGCUCUUGUUGAGAGACUCUUUGAUCGAAAAAUUCUAGCAAUGCAAACCGACUGGGGAGGAGAGUAUCAAAAACUCAAUUCCUUCUUUGCCAAAAUAGGGAUCACCCAUCUAGUGUCAUGUCCCCAUGCACAUCAACAAAAUGGAGCGGCAGAGCGAAAACAUCGCCACAUUGUAGAAGUUGGCUUGUCCUUAUUAUCUCAUGCUUCUGUUCCACUAAAAUUUUGGGACGAAGCAUUUCUCACAGCCUCUUACUUGAUAAACCGUGUGCCAAGUCCUGUUAUCCAAAACUCCACUCCACUAGAACGCUUAUUCCAACAAAAAUCGGAUUACGACACACUUCGUGUUUUCGGGUGUGCUUGUUGGCCUAAUUUGUGCCCAUAUAAUUCUCACAAACUUGAAUAUAGAUCCAAACGUUGUGUUUUCCUAGGAUACAGUCACCUCCAUAAGGGAUUCAAGUGUCUUGAUAUAGCUUCUGGGCGUGUUUAUAUAUCUCGAGAUGUUGUGUUUGAUGAAGAAGUUUUUCCUUUUUCUGAACUUCACUCCAAUGCAGGCGCACGCCUUCGUUCUGAAAUCAAUCUCCUUCAUCCAACUUUGAUAAAUCCUGGGGGCGUACAUAUAGUUGAUCAAUUUGCUAAUACUACUAAUCCUAAUGGUUUAAUUGUUGAAGAAAAUUCAGGAACAAUUGACGCAGGGAAUACAACAAAUAUGCAGCCAUGCAGCGAUGCUGGACAUGAGGUAGAUAUGCUCCGGUCAAUAGGAACCGGAGGUUACUCCCAUGCAGAUCAGCAGGAAGCCCCGUGCAUCCCAACUCAUGCAGACCAACAACAACUCCCAUGCAAUGACUCGCAUGCAAGGGUCUCCACUCCUUGUGGUAGGAGCCAAGGGGAAGAGACCGAGUCCAUAGGUGGGGAGCAACAACCGCAAUUGUCUCCUCCGCCUUCUACACCUCCGCCAGUGUCUCCUAGACUGUCUCCGCCAGUCACAGAAGUUGCAGCAGGUACUGCAAGUCAAGAACCCCAAAUGCUAGCUCGACCAAGAACUCGGCUACAGAAUGGCAUCCGAAAAGAAAAGGCCAAAGUGGGCCAUAGUCAUCCCUGAAAAAUGCAAUUUUCACUAGUUAAACAGCAAAAAUGGUACUAGAGGAAUGGCCAUAGCCAUAUAUUAAACAGUAAAAAUGGAGUACUAUUCUUUGUUGCUUAAAUUCACAAUCUAUGAACGACCCUAUUUCUAUGGUUGAGCUCGACCACAGCUGCUGGCUGCUAGAGAGAAGGAGAAGAGAUAAAGGAGAAAGGAGAAGAGAUAUGGAUGAAAGAGAAGAGAAGAUACCAUGCUACACCGAUGAUGAUGACAUUUUGAAUUUUCGUCACUAGAAAUUUCCAUCUAAGUGAAUGUGAAAUGCGAAUUACUAGCCACAUAAAUUUUAGGUGUAGUUCCCAGCCACCCUUAAAAGUAGGACAGUGUUUGAAAACUGAUAUUCAGACAUGGCUCAUUUGUUGGGUCGUUGACUUCAACAACCAUGAUUGAGAAAAUAGAAGUGCCUCUACAAAUCAUUUCUAUAAUAGGAUAGUAUAUUUUUAUCUUAAUAAACACUAGUAGAAAUUUGACUAAUGACACUCAUAUAUCCACUUAUUUUCUUUGAGGAGAUUGCGAUCAGGAUAUCCGCUAUGUUUUCUUUAAGGAAAUGCCAAUCAAGAUAUCCACUAUAUUUUCUUCAAAGACACGGCGAUCAGGGCGUUUUUUGUCUUCUCUUGCUCAAGGUGCUUGGAAACGAGACAUGCAUAAUCAGCGAACAAUAAGUCAAGUAUGGUUUCUCCAAAAUGGCUUGCAAUCAAAGGCUCCAAUAGUGCUCUAACAAACUUAGAGACAUUCAUACCACUACGACCACUGUCAUGAACAUAAUUGUCUUCUGUAUCAUCGUAAGGAUCCCAAUUUUGCUCAAAUAAUUUGAUAUAGUCUAUUUUGAACAUGUGGCUUUCCUUGACUAUUUCCUUCACUUCACCAAUUGAUGGCCCAUAUAGCGGUAGAUUAAAAGCUUCUAGUUUUUCUUUCUCCACGAGGCCCUAUAUAUCACAAUCAAAAUCGUAGUUUAUUUAACAUCUUAAUAAGUAUUGUCAAAAAGAAGUUGAGCCAACAAAAAAUAGUAAAUCUAGUUUUAUACAUUCCACUCUUACUAACCUUUCCAACAAGAGAUUGUAGUGAUCUUGCAACUAAUCCAAAGAGUUUGUUGAGAUAUCCAUUGUAUACAUCCUCAUCCUUCCUCCCACAAAAUGUUAGAACCAUUUCCCCUCCAUAUAUAAGUUCUUUGUGGCGCAACUUCAAGAAGAGGGAGAAGUCCUUAUGGAAUUGCUCUUGGAAGCACUUCACCACACAUGAUGGUGUGGUCUUUGUGAUAUAAAUAUUAUCUUCAUUUAAGAAAGCUCCUUUCCGUGCAUAUAGUUCCUCAGGUACCUUUGAACAUGGUAUUUCAUAACAUCAUUUUGAAUUUGUCUAGAAUAAAUGAAUUGCAUGAAAAUUACAAUGGGCAAGUAUGAACACAUAUAUAACUUCUUGCAAUAACCAUUGAUAAUAAUACCUGAGAGAGCCAGUGAAGGCAGCAAGAGGAGUGAAAGAGAUGGACGCUUUGGCGAGGAAACAGUCUGCUGUAGUAUGAUUUUGGCAACCCAGAAAUGUAGCACAAUGGGGGUGUGUAUCCUGUUUGUUCACUUGUAUCUAGCUUCAAGUCUUUGAGAGAACUGAAUAGUUGGUUGAAGUCAUUACCUGGUAGGUCGUUUAGGAAGAUUUGAAGUUCCACAGGAUCACCAGGUUUAUUGUAUUGGCCAGCUAUGAUGUUUAUCACAUUGGAUAUAAAGAGCAAUGUGUUUGGUCCUGAAGAGCAUCCUAGGUCAGCAAUGACCAUGGUUCUGGGAACAAGAGUUGUGUAUACUUCUUUUAUGGCAUUCUCAAUGACUGGCAUGGUCUGCAAGAUAACCUUCUCCUAGUAGCAUGCAUGAGGGGAAAUAGUGGCUCUUACAUACUUAUUAGAUAUAUGUAAUUUAUUCUACAAACCCCUAUAUCAUAGAACAUGAUAAAGGUGUUUAAAAAAAUCAGACUACGGGGGAUAGCAUGACCCCCCGCCCCCAAGCAUUUCGCAUUAAGAUUAAGGCCUUGUUUAGAUGCACCUAAAAUUUCAAAAGUUUACAAGAUUCCCCGUCACAUCGAAUCUCUGGACGAAUGCAUGGAGCAUUAAAUAUAGAUAAAAAGAAAAACUAACUGCACAAUUUGUCUGUAAAUCGCGAAACGAAUCUUUUAAGCCUAGUUACUCUAUGAUUAGACAAUGUUUAUCAAAUAAAAAUAAAAAAUGCUACAGUGUCAAAAUCCAAAAAAAAUUUGAACCUAAACAAGGCCUAAGGUUGAGAACUCUUCGGUUACUUAGUCUGAGAAAACCCUCGAACCUCGUACCCCACCCGCACAUAACUAUAUUGUUAUAUGUACAGUAAAUAAAUAUGUGGAACAUGAUAAACAGAUUUGAUGAAAGGCAAACAAAACAACAAGAUGUCAAUUUUACUAGAUAUAGUACAUACAAAUGCAUACUGUAUAAUAAAAAUGUGUGCAUGCAUGUUAAAAAUGGAUAGAAUAGUUACUUGAGCCCUAGAAUUCUUUGCGUAGCUAUGUUCUCCUUCCCCUUGGGCCAUAUGAAAACUGUGUUCUAAAUUCUCCAUUACUACAAAUUUCUUGGUAUGUGAUUUCCUGAUUGUUCAAGAGAAACAAAGGAGCACAAUGAACCUGAAUAUGUUCUCGUGGGGCACAAUUUAUACUAGCCAUAUUGGAACACUUGGUACUACUACUAGUAUAUGGACCAGCUGUGUCCAACCAGUCGACCAAACUAUGGUGCAAUGACAAAUUGAUUGCUUGAUUGAUGUAACGAUGUAAGGCUCUGACUUCCACAAUAAAUUUAAAAAUUAGAAUAUAUGUUCUCUUGGUACAUGCAUCAUUGGAUCUAGAUGCACCACAAGUUUUAGCACGUGUUUCACGUGGCGGAUCCAUGUAUGCCAAUAUGUAACCGACAGUUUUGAGAGAAUGCGAGGAUAUUUUUCGUUAAGGCCUGGUUUAGUUCAAAAAAAUUUUAAGAUUUUUAUCACAUCGAAUCUUUAGAUAUAUCCAUAAAGUAUUAAAUAUAAAUAUAAAUAAAAACUAAUUACAUAGUUUACCUGUAAUUUGCGAUAUAAAUUUUUAAGUCUAGUUAGUUUGUGAUUGGACAAUAACUGUUAAAUACAAACAAAAUUGCUAUAAUAGCCAAAGCAAAAAAAAUUGCGAGUUAAACAAGGCCUACAUACAAGAAAGAGUUCGUACAUUACAACAAAUAAAGAGAAACAAUAGAAAGGAAAGCAACAGCUGGAAGAGACCUCAGAAACCGGACGAAUGAACCACGUUGAGUACUACACACAAUGGAGAAGCUGCAACACGCUGAAGCAAGCAAAGCAAAGGUUACGACCUAAAACUCUCUCUUACACUAGACAAAGGACUAACCCUAUAUCAAAGACAGGAAUUGACAUGUCAAAGGCUCUGGAACAACAUUUCAGAGAACUGGCAAUUUAAAAGAACCUACCUUCCCGGCCAUUUCUUCACUCAGCAAAGGCUCGCUCACUCCACUCUGGACAACUUCAUUGCCAAAAAAAAUACUGCAUUUGUCUUCAAGCUUUGGAAACUUCAUUGUCAAAGCUUGAAGACAAAGGCUUUUUUUUAAUUCUAAAAAAAGGCAGUUUUUUUUUCAAACUGAGCUCAUCUUUGAAGCUUACGCCGGACUAGGCAAUGAAGUUUCUGUCUCUGUUUCAGAAAUUUAAAUUUUGAUGGUUCAUUAAACGAACUAUAACGAAUGAUGUUUAUUUUUCAUGGAAUUUAUCAUGUGGUAAAAUAAAAACCGUCAUCACUGACGGAAUAAUUCUUAGGUCUGCAAUCUGUGAUAACGAGAACUUCUCGGUCUGAGAUGGCAUGUGUAAUCUUGUGGUGUGGUAUUCAUCCAGUCGUCAUCCGGUUCCUGGUUCCCAUCAACUUGAUAUACCAUGAGUGAACCAGGUAAAAUUAUUCUACUCCACUUUUGAUGGCUAGUUCCAAGAUACGUGGAUUAGAAUUCAUGAGAACUUUUAAAAUAAAUAUCAAAUUACUUAUAUAGUGAUUGAUGUUUCGGCUGAAUUAUUAUACUCCACUUAUAUAUAAAUCCUACUAGCAUUGAUCUCCAAAAAAGUUGCCAUAUGGUUCCAUUUGCUUGUCUUAUAAGCCGUACUUUUUUUGCCAGCCAACGGUGUUUUUCUCUCAUAAUAAAUCAGCGAACAGUACUCAAAUAUUGUAAACCAGGAGAAUACCCUGCGCAUUGUUGUGGGUUGUGUGGCAUGAUGGCAUGGACAAACAAAAUACUUAUGUGUCUUAUUGACAUGGACAUUAUAAAUGUAUGGAUUUUUAUUGUGCGUGAUUGUGCAUUGCUUAGUUGGACAAUUUACAUGUUAAGAGAAAUAUAAUGAAUUGCUAACGUGGACACUACAAUUGCAUGGGCUAGUAGAAUUUUAAUUGUAUGUGAUAGCGGGUUGUUUAGUUGGACAACUUACAUAUUGAGGUAGUAGUGUUUAGUUUUAUAGUAAUACUAGAAGAAUACCUCGUGCGUUACUGUAAGAAUGCAUAUUAGUGGAUUGUAUGACAUGAUGACGUAGAUAAGAAAAAUACUUGUGUAUCUUACUAACGUGGACAUUACAAUUAUAUAGCUAGUGGAUUUUUAUUGUGUGUGAUAGUGUAUUGCUUAAGUAUGUUGAGAGUAACUUGCUGACGUGGACACUACAAUUGCAUAGGCUAGUGGAUUUUUAAUUAUAUAUGAUAGUAAGUUGUUUAGUUGGACAACUUGCAUAUUGAGAGAAAUAAGUAGUAGAGUUUAGCUUAUAGGAAUAUAAGAUAAGAUAAAAUAUAAGAUCUGAUUAAAUUUAUAUAAAAAAAUAUCAAUAUUUAUGAUAUUAAAUAAGUACCAUACUGUUUAAUUUGUCAUGUAAUAUAAUUUAUAUUAUUAUACUAUAUGGUGUCAUAAUGUUUUGUUUUUCUCUAUAAUUCAUUUAAAUUUAUUUUGAUAGUAUGACUUUUUAUGGGAGCCAGUUUGUCUACUAACGGUGAACUAUCUUUCCUCUUACUGACAUCCCACUUGUGUCAAAUUUGUGGAGAGGGGGAUCUCCACAUGACAGCCAGCAACAAUUGUCCUCGCUCGUGCACACCUAGGAAGAACUUCAUCGUCGAUCUUCCAUUUCGAAAAAAUUACUCUAAGUCAAGCACGUUUAACCUCAAAGUUCUUUGGAGAUAGACUUCUGGGCAAAAAGUUGCAACUUGUUGGUAUGAAUAUUCUAUUAAUCCUAUUAAGCCCUGGGACAGGAUGUUACAUCCUCACUCUCUUAAGAGACUGACGUCCUCGUCGAUCAACCUCAAGCCAGGAACGUCUUCUCUUGGCCACGUCUGUGUGUCUAGUGCCAGCAUAUGUACCAUGUUGUGAGACCACUCUAGGUCCACACUAUGCCUGUGCAACUGCGACAUGUCCCGCCUCUUCGAGGCCAGGCUCGUUUACAUCUGUCAGCUUUUCUAGGAUUGUCCUCACAGACCAACACUAGUCUUUUCUGCACACUUUGUCUCUACUCGUGCGCACUCGAGAGGAACUAUUUGGUCGGUCACUUAUCACGAAAUUGCUUUAGACCAAGCACGCUUAAACUCAGAGUUCUUUGAAGAUAGACUUCUGAAAAAAAGUUACAACUUAUUAAAAGUAUCAUAUUGAUUCUAUGAAGACCUGGGCCAAGACGUUACAUUCCACCCCAAAUGAAGGCCUUGUUUAAUUAUUGGAGUGAAAAGUUUUUAGGUACUGUAGUACUUUUAUUUGUAUUUUGUCAAAUAUUAUCCAAUCAUGGACUAACUAGACUUAAAAGAUUUAUCUCGUAAAUUCCAGACAAAUUGUACAAUUAGUUAUCUUUUUAUCUAUAUUUAAUGCUCUAUAUAUGUGCCACAAAAUUUGAUGUGACUGAAAAAACUUGAAAAAAAAUAGCUUUUGAAUUGAACUAAACAAGGCAACAACGCUCAUGUGUUGGUCGCCGCCCGCACUCUCACCCUCAAAUCCCGUCUCAAAUCUUUUACCCACCAUCUCCAGAUCUCCUCCUCCAGCCCUCCACUGCUAGUCUGCGUCUUUCUCACGGUCACGGGAUACCGCCUCCCGCACUUGACUUGACGGAAGCAACAGCCUACAACCCAUUACAUGGAUAGACACACAGACCUCGCAUAGUCGCAUACGUCCAUUGGCCCCGUUUGACAUAGCUUCUACGGGCUCCAAUUUCUAUGACACAUUCAUUGUUUAUGCACUGUUUACAAGAGUUUUUUUUUCUCUCUCCUAUCUCUUCCUCUUACAAAGCUAGUGGAAACAGGUGAAGCCAAUUUUAUUAGCUUUGCCUGCUCUGUGAAAGGAGAAGAUAAGAAAGAGAAAAAAAGCUCAAAUGUAUGAAGUUGAAGCCGGUGAAAGGCUACGGUAGGGCGCCUGCCAAACUGGGCCGGUCCCCUUCUUGGAGGCAGAGGGACCCGCUUGUGUUGUGUACGUAUACCUACAAUAAUCUGCUGUAUGACGGUAUGAGUAUGAUAAGGGCACUCACAAUGCAGACUCUAUCAUAGAGUCUAAAGUUAUUUAUUACCUCGAACAAUGUGGACUUAGAGUCUUAUUUUUUCUACCUCUUUCUUCAAUAAAUAUGCUGCCACAUCAGCAAAAUAUCAUAAAUAAUAUGUAAUUAAGUGUCUUGGACUCUGUGAUAGAGUCUUGCAUUGUGAGUGCCCUAAGCGGUCUCCGAUUGUGUUAUUUCAUUUUAUUUUUAGUUUCUUUCGCCCUCCUUCGUGUAAGGCCUUGUUUAGAUUUUUUUUAUUUUGAUACUGUUGCACUUUUGUUUGUAUUUAGCAAUUAUUAUCUAAAUAUAGACUAAGUAGACUUAAAAGAUUUGUCUCGUAAAUUAGGGCACUCACAAUGCAGACUCUAUUAUAGAGUCUAAAGUCAUUUAUUACCUCGAACAAUGUGGACUUAGAGUCUAAAUAAGACUUAGAGUCUUAUUUUUUCUACCUCUUUCUUCAAUAAAUAUGAUGCCACAUCAGCAAAAUAUCAUAAAUAAUAUAUAAUUAAUUGUCUUAGACUCUGUGAUAGAGUCUUGUAUUGUGAGUGCCCUUAUAACUAAACUGUACAAUUAGUUAUUUUUUUAUCUAUAUUUAAUGCUUCAUACAUGUAUCAUAAGAUUUGAUGUAACAAAAAAUCUUGAAAAGAUUUUGGAUUUUGGAUCGAACUAAACAAAGCCUGGUUCCACCGAGGCGGACAACACGCAUGGGUUGGUCGCCGCCCGAUUCCGGCCCCUAUGUGAUGGUCGCCGCCUGAUUCUAGACCCCAAAUCCAUCUCAAAUCUUUUACCCACCAUCUCCAGAUAUCCUCCUCUAGGCCUCCAUUGCUGGUCUGUGUCUUCCUCACGGUCACGGGAUAUCGUAACCCGCACUUGACGGACGCAACAGCAUGCAACCCAUUACACAGAUAUUGACCCAACCUAUUACACGGACAGACACAACCGCUUUGUUCAUUUGUCGAUUAAGCCAUAACAGUUGUUGUUUAAUUUAUUAUAAGAGAAAAGUACUCAUAAAUGACUCCUCGCAUUCGUCCAUUCAUCGUUUCCGCGUGAGAUCAACGUCCCUCUCCCUCCGAUCCGGCAUCCUUCUUGGAGGCAGAGGGACCCGCUUGUGUUGUGUACGUAUACCUACAAUAAUCCGCCGUAUGAGUAUGAAAAGCGGUCUCCAAUUGCGGCCUGUCGUAAAGUCGCUGACUUGCUGUUGGUCAGGACUCAUCCAAGCUAGUGAUCCUAAUCUGCGGUCGGCGCGCUACACAGACUGAAAACGAUUGUGUAUUGCAUUCUCUCGAGUUCUCUUAAAAUAACAAACACACUCUCCUCAAAAGAGUAUAACAAAUAGGCUUCCUUGGUCCCCAAGCGUGAGAGAUCAGACGAUCCGAUGAAGACAAUUUACAUAGUUAUUAUCCUGAUAAACUUGAAUUAUGUUUCUAAGUCGUUGAAGCAUACGACACUAUCAUUUGUUUGCACAUACUGAUUGGAACGUGCACCCACAGCUAGCGCGUCGCGUUGAGUCGUUGACCUGCAGCGAUGCGAGCUGGACAUGGACUAGUGGUGCCAUGCCCGAACUCCGAACCAGAGCACCCGGCCGUCUCCAACUAAUCGCGCUUCCCCUGCUUGCUUGCUCACUCCUCAGCUCGUCUCAUCCAUCGCCAUGCGUCUCCUCCACGUCCUCCUCCUCCUCCUCCUCCUCUCCCUGCACGCGGCGCCGCGCCCGUGCUCCGCGGCCACCACCGCCACCGACACGGUGUCCCCGGGCAAUGCGCUCGCCGGCACGGCGGCCAGGCUCGUCUCCAACAACAGCAAGUUCGCGCUGGGCUUCUUCAAGACGGACACCGCGUCCCCCAACACCUACCUCGGCAUAUGGUUCAACAAGGUCCCCAAGCUGACGCCGCUCUGGAGCGCCAACGGCGAGAGCCCCGUCGUCGACCCGGCGUCGCCGGAGCUCGCCAUCUCCGGCGACGGGAACCUGGUCAUCCGAGACCAGGCCACCAGGUCCGUCAUCUGGUCCACCCGCGCCAACAUCACCACCAACGCCACCGUCGCCGUGCUUCUCAGCAGCGGCAACCUCGUCCUGCGGAGCUCCACAAACUCCUCCCACGUCUUCUGGCAGAGCUUCGACUACCCGACGGACACGCUCUUCGCCGGCGCCAAGAUCGGCUGGAACAGGCGCACGGGCCUCAACCGCCGCCUCGUGUCGAGGAAGAACGCGCUGGACCAGGCGCCCGGCCUCUACUCUCUGGAGAUGACGGAGCGCGACGGGGUCGGCCACCUCCUCUGGAACUCCACCGUCGCCUACUGGUCCAGCGGGGGGUGGAACGGCAACUACUUCGGCCUGGCGCCGGAGAUGAUCGGCGCCGUCAUGCCCAGCUUCAGGUUCGUCAACAACGACGACGAGAUCUCCUUCAUGUACACGCUCCACGACGACACGGCGAUCGUGCACACCGCGCUGGAUGUCUCUGGGCAAGGCCUGGUGGGGUUUUGGCUGGACGGCAAGCAGGACUGGCUCAUCAAUUACAGGCAGCCUGUGGUUCAGUGCGACGUCUACGCCACCUGUGGGCCUUUCACGGUCUGCGACGACGCCGCCGACCCGACCUGCAGCUGCAUGAAGGGUUUCUCCGUGAGAUCACCCAGGGACUGGGAGCUCGGCGACCGGAGAGACGGGUGCGCGAGGAACACGCAGUUAGACUGUGACACCAACAGGACAGGUCUCAGUCUCACGGAUAAGUUCUUCGCCGUGCAAGGCGUCAGGUUGCCCCAAGACGCGAACAAAGUGCAGGCUGCUAAGAGUGGAGAUGAUUGCGCAGAGAUCUGCUUGGGUGACUGUUCCUGCACUGGGUAUUCCUACUGGAAUGGAGGCUGCUCUGUUUGGCAUGGGAAACUGUACAACGUGAAACAGCAGUCUGAUGCUUCUGCUAAUGGAAAUGGGGAAACACUUUACAUCCGCCUUGCUGCAAAGGAGGUGGUGGCAAGCGGUGUGGCAAGGAGGAAGAGAGGAAUCAGCGUUGGGGUUGCCACUGGUGUCGCCGUCGGUGCAAGCGCUGCCGCUUUGAUCCUGGUGGCCAUCCUUGGUGUGAUGAUUUGGAGGAGAAAAGGGAAGAGGAUCGAAAAUCCUCAGGGUGGCAUUGGAAUCAUUGCAUUUCGACAUGUCGAUUUGCAGCGUGCAACUAGAAACUUCUCAGAAAGGUUAGGGGGAGGCAGUUUUGGUUCUGUAUUCAAAGGGUACCUAGGUGACUCGGUUGCCUUGGCAGUGAAAAGGCUUGACGGUGCCCAUCAAGGAGAGAAGCAGUUCAGAGCAGAAGUCAAUUCAGUUGGAAUCAUCCAGCACAUCAAUCUAGUCAAACUGAUUGGAUUCUGUUGCGAAGAUGAUAAGAGGCUGCUUGUGUAUGAAUACAUGCCGAAUCACUCUCUUGAUGUGCAUUUAUUUAAGGCUAAUGGUACAGUUUUGGAUUGGAAUCUCAGGUACCAGAUAGCUAUUGGAGUUGCCAGAGGCCUGGCCUACUUGCACACUGGUUGUCGGGAUUGCAUCAUACAUUGUGACAUCAAGCCAGAGAAUAUACUCCUUGAUGCAUCUUUUGUACCUAAGAUUGCAGAUUUUGGAAUGGCAAAGGUCUUGGGGAGAGAAUUUAGCAAUGCAAUCACUACAAUGAGAGGAACUAUUGGGUACCUCGCGCCUGAAUGGAUUAGUGGAACCGCUGUUACAUCUAAAGUCGAUGUAUACAGCUAUGGGAUGGUUUUAUUCGAACUCAUAUCAGGAAGGAAGAACUCGAGUCCAGAGUACUUUGGGGAUGGCGAUUAUUCAAGCUUCUUCCCUAUGCAAGUUGCACGCAAGCUUCGCAGUGGAGAGGUUGGGAGUCUGGUGGAUGAAAAGCUGCAUAGUGAUGUGAAUCUCAUGGAGGUUGAAAGAGUUUGCAAAGUUGCAUGUUGGUGCAUUCAGGAAAAUGAGUCUGCUCGACCGACCAUGGCCGAGGUUGUGCAGUUUCUUGAGGGUCUUUCUGAGCUCGGUAUGCCACCACUGCCGAGACUACUCAAUGCGGUCACAGGAGGGUCACCGACAUGACUGACAUUUAGUCUUACCUCAAACUUAAGUAGGUUUAGCAAUCCAUGAGAAUGUUGUCAUUUUUAGUAUAUCCUAUCAGUAUAAACCUUGAAUUCGUGAAUAUAUUGUGGUUUUAGCUUAUGGUAACCAAGGAGGAGGAAAAUGUUUACUUGCAAAUCAAUUUGGUGACAUUUCUCAUUUUGUUAAAAAAAAGUUGUUCAAUAGAGUUGUACUACCUAAUUGUUCUCAUCAGAAGCUGGGAGAGCUGCUCUUACCUGGGGAAGCAAAGGUCACCUCCACGGCCAUGACCAAGCAAACGUGGAAUAUAGAUUUCCAUCUGGCACUAACACGAUGGGUCGGCCCGAGCACGACACUAAAAAACACGAUCCAGGCACAGCACGGUCCGAUGGUAGUGUCGUGCCUGGGCCGCAACUUCGGCCCGCAGUGCCGGCACGGGCACGGCACGGUUAAUAGACUGGCACGACGCUGGCACGAUUAUUUCCAUCGUCUGAUGCUUUGAGGAUAGAUCAUGACCAUUGAAUGUAUUCUGAGUCAUGUAUAUAAGCAUCACACAACCCUUUCAAACCCUAACUCCCUAGUCGGCGACGUAGACGCAUCCUUGCUGAGGCCACACUCUUUCUCCCGCCUGACUAUACGACAGGGGUGGCGCUCGUCUUCUCCAUGAGGCAGGGCGCAGUGAGCUUCUCGACUUCUCCCAAAGCCAUGGGCCGGCACGGGCACGAUGGACCACCGUGCCUAUCGGCACGGUUAAAGAGCCAUAGUGCCGUGUCUGGGCCGAGAGUUUGGCACGAUGGCCCGAGACGGCACGGCACGAUAGACAUAGUGCCGCAUAGUGCCGUAUAGUGCCAGAGCUGGGCCGCCCGUUUGGCCAAGUAUAACCUGGAAUGAGAACAGCAUGCUUGAGUUAGGUUCCCCGUCGAGGCAAUCCGUCGAGCACCUCGCGAGCACUGCACACUAUACACUCCACACGGCGAGUUAGGUUUCAGGGCAGCGCACGAAUGGAAUUGGAGAGGAGAAAUGAGAUGCGGAGUGGAGGCAGCUAGCGAUAGCGUACAAGAAAUCGCCGCGGCGGCAGAAGUUGGAUGCGUGGCCGCGCAGCUCUACUGUAGAGCCGUGCCGUGCAGCUGCAGCUGCUGGGCAAGUGACCCGGCCAGAUACAACAAAUACAGAUCUUUCUCGUUAAUGCCACAGCGUGUAAUAUUGAUAAGAACAACAUACUCACAAUAAGGACAACAUCAUAUCGAAUUCAGUUAAUGCCACAGCGUGUAAUAUUGAUAAGAAUGAGUUUAUUACAUUGUUACAUACUCACAAUCGUGUAAUUGUACCGCGUCACAUAUCAAUGCAAUUGAAAUGGUGAAAUGUGGUUCGUGCAAGAACAGAGGGUAAGGCUACAUUACAUUUCUCUAAGACACCACAUAUCAAUUGUGUUAACGUUCGUCCGUUGAUAAUAAACGAGACAACAGCAAACAAUCUCAGAAUGGAAUUAGUUCAAGAAUAAAGAGCAACCUUGCAAUAAUGCUCAUUCAGGUCACAAAUAAUAAGUGACUUUUUAGUGCUUUUCUUCUCUUGUCCUGAAUGAUAUGAACUGGUACAAAUAAAGAAAGCAUCGCGCCAUUUUCAUAGUCGAAAGUAAAGUUAAGAGAAGGAAUUAAAAUCCUAUCAAAAUGGUGUUACAAUCAAUUAUGACUUACAAAGAUAUGAUGUCUAAUUAGUAAAAAUCUUUGCUACUGUUUCACCAAAAAUCUACAUGCCUUCUUUGAUAAGACAUGAUAGUGUCUUAAAGAAAAGGAUAUGUCCUUGAAAAAUGGAAUCAAAGUGUUACUAUUAUGUAACACAAAAACAUGCAGUUGCAUCAAGAUUAAACAGAAUUAAAAGUUACUAACAGUGGGGGGGGAUUCUGUUCCACCUUAGCUUGCAGGAGAUCACAAGCAUAAGUUUCAAUAAGCAACAACACAUGACCCAAACACAAGUUCAGGAAACAGCUACAAACCAUUUUUUUACUCUUAACACAAAACCAUCCUAAGCACAUUAGCAUCCUGGAAUGUGAUACGGAGAGCAUCAGUGGCUAACAUGUGGCGGACAAUCUAUGGAUACAACACAGCAUGCCCAUCAGCCACACCAUCACCUGCAAGGUUAUUACUAGUAUAAACAUCAGUCAACCUGGAGAUUGGCUAAAUAAGACGCGAAGUGCUAUAGAUCUACAUUCUACAAUGCAUGCAAGUAUGUAUCACAAAACACACAAUCAACCAGCAGAAUGAAGAACAGAUGCAUAUAUACAUCACAAGAUAGACAUGUCCAACGAUUAGCACAAAUUCAUCACGAUAAGUUCACUACAUGAGCAUUGCACUUCCAUAGGCAACUCCGAUGUUCUUACAGGUACCACUCAUGGAUCAAACCAUGGCCAGAUAAUUAAGUGUCAAAUGUAUUUCACAGGAUGCAUCAGCACAGGACUAGUAACCAACAUAUUUCCCCCAAAAAGAAGUAGGCAGCACAUCAAGGCCAGACAAAUACUGGUGAAGUUAACAUAGCUUAGGAGUACUUAAUCGCCAUACAAUGGUCAAAGAAAACCUCUUCACUUCAGUCUUAAGGGAACAGCCAUGUGGCAAGAAUCAUCUCAUGCUUCCAGAUCAUCGGCAGAGGGGAGGAGACCUCGCCGGUUCUCAUGUCAUAGACACUGACAGAAGUGGUCUCCUCAUGAAAGGAGUACUUGCAGUUCUCCAUAACAUCAUCCAAGAAGAAGAUUUGGUCACCUGGCAUACCAUACUGAGAUGCAGUCACGGCCCUAGAGCAUGAACGUCCAAGGAAAAUCAUCUGGUCAUCCCCCAGCGAUGUCACAUUCACCCACCGUGAGCGCUCUAAGUCAGCCUUGAAAACCUCAAACUCACACUGUCCAGACACAGCUGCCUCACCUGCCACGCUACAGCAAACCUUCCUGCGUACCAUCAGCAAUGCACCACAAGAUUCGACAAGGUAGAGCUUCUUUUUGCCCAUAGUGUCUUGUAGCAUAUCAGCUGAGUACCAGUUGUCUGGCAUAGAAGCUGAUUCCCAGGGAUCACCCUUGAUCACCUGUCCAAUCCGGGAGAUCUGUGGAUUGCCAGUGCUUGGGUCUUGGCUGAUAUUGAUGAUAAGGAGGUUCUCAUCAUCAGCAAGGGCAUAGAGCUUUCCCUGAUAGAAUGCCAUAUCUUGAAACAAUUUGCACUUGUCAUUUGCACGUACUGACCAUGAUGAAGACUCCGGCUGGCACACUAGAAUCUGACUGGUGCAUCCACAGCCAUUGAGUGUACUGCCGGCGAAUGCGGCGACGAGGUUUGGCGAGCACAAGAUUAGCUUAUUUAGUGUGGGCAUCUUCUUCGACUCCUUGAUAUGCAUCCAGGUUGCGUAAGGGUAGAACACGCUUACAUGUGCAUCUUGUCCCGGAACCGGAACAUUGACAUAUUUAGCAACGGCAUUUGGGGGGCGAAGUUUGACUUGAGACAGAGGAGGGAGCGUCACUGUGGCUCCAACGAAGGGGUCCACCAAGAAGCAGCCGUCAUCGCGCGAGAAGACGAGCCAGCUGCCACAGGCGGCGGUCUUGUAGCCAGCGCAGCCGAAGCCAGGGAAUCGGAAGGACUUGCCGUAGGGGAGGCUGUAGAAGGUGCCGUCCGGGAGCGCCAGCAGCGGGAGCGGUGGGGGCAGGGGGAGCUGCCGCGCGGCGGCGCGCCACUGCGGGCACACGGCGGCGAAGCAGGCCCGGUCCACGCAGGCCGGGAGGAAACGGAGCACCCUGCCGGCAAGGUCCGCCGGGAGGUCGGCCCACGACG
RNAcentral lists this long non-coding RNA (52083 nucleotides) under Sorghum bicolor (sorghum). RNAcentral describes it as "long non-coding RNA (SBIC_LNC003761)". The stretch from base 31211 to 31319 matches the Rfam family "MIR5565 microRNA precursor family". The record is from RNAcentral. Lineage: Eukaryota; Viridiplantae; Streptophyta; Magnoliopsida; Poales; Poaceae.